GGGUCAAGGUACUCUCGUCCAAGGCCAGGGCAUCAUCCAACCUCAACAACCAGCUCAAUUGGAGGCGAUCAGGUCAUUGGUGUUGCAAACUCUUCCAACCAUCUGCAAUGUGUAUGUCCCACCUGAGUGCUCCAACAUCAGGGCACCAUUUGCCAGCAUAGUCGCGGGGAUUGGUGGCCAAUGAAAAAAGCAAGAGCUAUACUAAUAGAUAGAUGGAUCCUCGUUGCUUAGCAGAUGCACCAAUCGAUGUAACGAUGACAAAUAAAGUGGCACGUACCAUCAUGUGUGACCCCGACCAGUGCUAGUUCAAGCUUGGGAAUAAAAGACAAACAAAGUUCUUGUUUGCCAGCAUUGAUUGUCAUUGUUCCAUUCACUGUGUAUUUAGUUGUUCAUCCCUAACCGCAGUUCUAGGCUUACACAUCAAUGGCUAUUUGCUCGUGCCGGCAGGUUCCUAUGUAAUCUACCGACUAAUGGUCGGCCUAUUGACCCAGUUUAUAGGCCGAUUGAUAUAUUAAUUGCUGCUCCCAAACUGACCGACCAGCUAUUAGUUACCAUUUUGCUGAACAUUGCACACAAUAAUAACUCAACAUAUUUUAAUGUCUAGAAGUAAAAGGGCCAUUUUAGCAGCAAAACAAGCGCCUGAUUAGGAACCAUCCAGCACUUUAAAUGUUCACCUAGAUAUUUCUACGUUGAUGCAAUUUUGAGAUUGGUGGCACCGAAACAUUCCUCAAAGCAAUUCUUUAUGGGACUCCAAAGAGGUGAAAAUAAAGUAAAGUUGCCACAUGGUAAAAUAUAAAUCAUGCGGCGAGCAAGAGCAAAUAUUGAGUCAUGAUAGCAAGCGCCAAACAUGCCAUUAAACUCUUCAUAUGGUUCCGUGCAGAGAAGGGGGAAAAUUGUUGGGGAACGUAGUCAUUUCAAAAAAAAUCCUACGCACACGCAAGAUCAUGGUGAUGCAUAGCAAUGAGAGGGGAGAGCAUCGUCCACCUACCCUCGUAGACCGUAAGCGGAAGCGUUAUGACAACGCGGUUGAUGUAGUCGUACAUCUAUAUGAUCGACCGAUCCUAGUACCGAACGUACGGCACCUCCGCAAUCUGCACACGUUCAGCUCGGUGACGUCCCAUGAACUCACGAUCGAGUAGAUCUUCAAGGGAGAGUUCCGUCAGCACGACGGCGUGAUGACGGUGUUGAUGAAGCUACCGACGCAGGGCUUCGCUUAUGCACUACUAUGAUAUGACCGAGGUGGAUUAUGGUGGAGGGGGCACCGCACACGGCUAAAGAUCAAUGAUCAACUUGUGUGUCUUGGGGUGCCCCCUGCCCCCGUAUAUAAAGGAGAAAGGGGGGAGGCGGCCGGCCAAGGAGGAGGGCGCGCCAAGGGGGGAGUCCUACUUAGGACUCCUCUUUCCUAUUAGGAGUAGGAGAAGGGGGAAAGGAAGGAGAGGAGGAGAAGGAAGGACGGGGCACCGCCCCUUCCCCUAGUCCAAUUCAGACUAGGCUUGGGGGGGGGGGCGGCCCAGCCCUAGCCAGCCCCUCUCUCUCCCUCUCUCUCCCUGAAGCCCAUUAACGCCCAUAAGAUCCCCGGGGGGUUCCGGUAACCUCUCGGUACUGUGGUAUUUAUCCGGUGUCCGAAUAUAACCUUCCAAUAUAUCAAUCUUUAUGUCUCGACCAUUUUAAGACUCCUCGUCAUGUCCGUGAUCAUAUCUGGGACUCCGAACUACCUUCGGUACAUCAAAACACAUAAACUCAUAAUACCGAUCGUCACCGAACGUUAAGCGUGCGGACCCUAUGGGUCCGAGAACUAUGUAGACAUGACCGAGACACGUCUCCGGGUUUAACCAAUAGCGGAACCUGGAUGCUCAUAUUGGCUCCUACAUAUGUUGGGGAACGUUGCAUAAAAUAAACUUUUUCCUAUGUUCACCAAGAUCAAUCUAUGAGUUCAUCUAGCAACGAGAGAGGGGAGUGCAUCUACAUACCCUUGUAGAUCACGAGCGGAAGCGUUCAAGAGAACGGGGUUGAGGGAGUCGUACUCGUCGUGAUCCAAAUCACCGGAGAUCCUAGCGCCGAACGAAUGGCACCUCCGCGUUCAACACACGUACGGUUAGCGUGACGUCUCCUCCUUCUUGAUCCAGCAAGGGGGAAGGAGAGGUUGAUGAAGAUCCAGCAGCACGACGACGCGGUGGAGGAUGCAGCAGAGUUCCGGCAGGGCUUCGCCAAGCGACUACGGGAGGAGGAGGUGUAGCAAGGGGGGAGGGAGGCGCCAAGACUUCAGGGUGCAGCUGCCCUCCCCUCCCCCUCCUUUAUAUAGGCCCCCUGGAGGGUGGCGCCGGCCCUGGAGAUGGGAUCUCCCAAGGGGGCGGCGGCUAGGGGGGUGGAGUGCCCCCCAAGGCAAGUGGAGGCGCCCCCCCCCCCCACCCUAGGGUUUCCAACCCUAGGCGCAGGGGGGCCCAAGGGGGUCGCACCAGCCCACCAGGGGCUGGUCCCCUCCCCACUUCAGCCCACGGGGCCCUCCGGGAUAGGUGGCCCCACCCGGUGGACCCCCGGGACCCUUCCGGUGGUCCCGGUACAAUACCGGUGACCCCCGAAACUCUCCCGAUCACCGAAACUGCACUUCCUAUAUAUAAUUCUUUAUCUUCGGACCAUUCCGGAACUCCUCGUGACGUCCGGGAUCUCAUCCGGGACUCCGAACAACUUUCGGUUUGCUGCAUACUCAUAUCUCUACAACCCUAGUGUCACCGAACCUUAAGUGUGUAGACCCUACGGGUUCGGGAGACACAUAGACAUGACCUAGAUGGCUCUCCGGUCAAUAACCAACAGCGGGAUCUGGAUACCCAUGUUGGCUCCCACAUGCUCCUCGAUGAUCUCAUCGGAUGAACCAUGAUGUUGAGGAUUCAAGCAACCCCGUAUUCAAUUCCCUUUGUCAAUCGGUAUUUUACUUGCCUGAGAUUCGAUCAUCGGUAUCCCAAUACCUCGUUCAAUCUCGUUACCGGCAAGUCACUUUACUCGUACCGUAAUGCAUGAUCCUGUGACCAGACACUUGGUCACUUUGAGCUCAUUAUGAUGAUGCACUACCGAGUGGGCCCAGAGAUACCUCUCCGUCAUACGGAGUGACAAAUCCCAGUCUCGAUCCGUGUCAACCCAACAGACACUUUCAGAGAUACCUGUAGUGCACCUUUAUAGUCACCCAGUUACGUUGUGACGUUUGGUACACCCAAAGCACUCCUACGGUAUCCGGGAGUUACACGAUCUCAUGGUCUAAGGAGAAGAUACUUGACAUUGGAAAAGCUCUAGCAAACGAACUACACGAUCUUGUGCUAUGCUUAUGAUUGGGUCUUGUCCAUCACAUCAUUCUCCUAAUGAUGUGAUCCCGUUAUCAAUGACAUCUAAUGUCCAUAGUCAGGAAACCAUGACUAUCUAUUGAUCAACGAGCUAGUCAACUAGAUGCUCACUAGGGACAUAUUAUGGUCUAUGUAUUCACACGUGUAUUACGAUUUCCGGAUAAUACAAUUAUAGCAUGAAUAAAGACAAUUAUCAUGAACAAGGAAAUAUAAUAAUGAUCCUUUUAUUAUUGCCUCUAGGGCAUAUUUCCAAAAGUCUCCCACUUGCACUAGAGUCAAUAAUCUACUUACAUUGUGAUGAAUCGAACACCCAUAGAGUUCUGGUGUUCAUCAUGUUUUGCUUGCGGAAGAGGUUUAGUCAACGGAUCUGCGACAUUCAGAUCCAUAUGUACUUUGCAAAUAUCUAUGUCUCCAUCUUGAACAGUUUCACGGAUGGAGUUGAAACGAUGCUUGACGUGCCUGGUCUUCUUGUGAAACCUGGGCUCCUUGGCAAGGGCAAUAGCUCCAGUGUUGUCACAGAAGAGAGUGAUUGGCCCCGACGCAUUGGGUAUGACUCCUAGGUCGGUGAUGAACUCCUUCAUCCAUAUUGAUUCAUGCGCUGCCUCCGAGGCUGCCAUGUACUCCGCUUCACAUGUAGAUCCCGCCACGACGCUCUGCUUGCAACUGCACCAGCUUACUGCUCCACGAUUCACCAUAUACACGUAUCCGGUUUGUGACUUAGAGUCAUCCACAUCUGUGUCGAAGCUAGCAUCGACGUAACCCUUUAUGACGAGCUCUUCGUCACCUCCAUAAACAAGAAACAUGUCCUUUAUCCUUUUCAGGUACUUCAGGAUAUUCUUGACCGCUAUCCAGUGUUCCUUGCCGGGAUUACUUUGGUACCUUCCUACCAAACUUACGGCAAGGUUUACAUCAGGUCUGGUGCACAGCAUGGCAUACAUAAUAGAUCCUAUGGCUGAGGCAUAGGGGAUGACACUCAUCUCUUCUUUAUCUUCUGCCGUGGUCGGGCAUUGAGCCGAGCUCAACUUCACACCUUGCAAUACAGGCAAGAACCCUUUCUUGGACUGAUCCAUUUUGAACUUCUUCAAUAUCUUAUCAAGGUAUGUGCUUUGUGAAAGACCUAUGAGGCGUCUCGAUCUACCCCUAUAGAUCUUGAUGCCUAAUAUGUAAGCAGCUUCUCCAAGGUCCUUCUUUGAAAAACACUUAUUCAAGUAGGCCUUAAUGCUGUCCAAAAGUUCUAUAUCAUUUCCCAUCAAAAGUAUGUCAUCUACAUAUAAUAUGAGAAAUGCUACAAAGCUCCCACUCACUUCCUUGUAAACGCAGGCUUCUCCAUAAGUCUGCAUAAACCCAAACGCUUUGAUCAUCUCAUCAAAGCGAAUGUUCCAACUCCGAGAUGCUUGCACCAGCCCAUAAAUGGAUCGCUGGAGCUUUCAUACCUUGUUAGCAUUCUUAGGAUCGACAAAACCCUCCGGCUGCAUCAUAUACAGUUCUUCCUUAAGAUGUCCGUUAAGGAAUGCCGUUUUGACGUCCAUCUUCCAUAUCUCAUAAUCAUAGUAUGCGGCAAUUGCUAACAUGAUUCGGACGGACUUCAGCUUCGCUACGGGAGAGAAAGUCUCAUCAUAGUCAACCCCUUGAACUUGUCGAUAACCCUUAGCGACAAGUCAAGCUUUAUAGAUGGUAACAUUACCAUCCGCGUCUGUCUUCUUCUUAAAGAUCCAUUUGUUUUCUAUCGCUCACCGAUCAUCGGGCAAGUCUGUCAAAGUCCAUACUUUGUUUUCAUCCAUGGAUUCUAUCUCCGAUUGCAUGGCUUCAAGCCAUUUGUUGGAAUCUGGGCCUGCCAUCGCUUCUUCAUAGUUCGAAGGUUCACCGUUGUCUAACAACAUGAUUUCCAGGACAGGGUUGCCAUACCACUUUGGUGUGGAACAUGUCCUUGUGGACCUAUGAAGUUCAGUAGCAACUUGAUCCGAAGUACUUUGAUCAUCAUCAUUAAUUUCCUCUCCAGUCGGUGUAGGCACCACAGCAACAUUUUCCUGAGCUGCACUACUUUCCGGUUCAAGAGGUAGUACUUCAUCGAGUUCUACUUUCCUCCCACUUACUCCUUUCGAGAGAAACUCUUUUUCCAGAAAGGAUCCGUUCUUGGCAACAAAGAUCUUGCCCUCGGAUCUUAAGUAGAAGGUAUACCCAAUGGUUUCCUUAGGGUAUCCUAUGAAGACGCAUUUUUCCGACUUGGGUUCGAGCUUUUCAGGUUGAAGUUUCUUGACAUAAGCAUCGCAUCCCCAAACUUUUAGAAACGACAGCUUAGGUUUCUUCCCAAACCAUAAUUCAUACGGUGUCGUCUCAACGGAUUAAGACGGAGCCCUGUUUAAAGUGAAUGUAGCUGUCUCUAGAGCGUAUCCCCAAAAUGAUAACAGUAAAUCGGUAAGAGACAUCAUAGAUCGCACCAUAUCCAAUAGAGUGCGAUUACGAUGUUCGGACACACCGUUACGCUGAGGUGUUCCAGGCGGCGUGAGUUGUGGAAUGAUUCCACAUUUCCUUAAGUGCGUACCAAAUUCGUGACUUAAAUAUUCUCCUCCACGAUCUGAUCGUAGGAACUUUAUCUUUCGGUCACGUUGAUUCUCUACCUCAUUCUGAAAUUCCUUAAACUUUUCAAAGGUCUCAGACUUGUGUUUCAUCAAGUAGACAUACCCAUAUCUACUCAAGUCAUCAGUGAGAGUGAAAACAUAAUGAUAUCCUCCGCGAGCCUCAACGCUCAUUGGACCACACACAUCAGUAUGUAUGAUUUCCAAUAAGUUGGUUGCUCGCUCCAUUGUUCUGGAGAACAGAGUCUUGGUCAUUUUGCCCAUGAGGCAUGGUUCGCAUGUGUCAAAUGAUUCAUAAUCGAGAGACUCUAAAAGUCCAUCAUCAUGGAGCUUCUUCAUGCGCUUGACACCAAUGUGACCAAGGUGGCAGUGCCACACGUAUGUGGGACUAUCGUUACCAACUUUACAUCUUUUGGUAUUCACACUAUGAAUAUGUGUAACAUUACGUUCGAGAUUCAUUAAGAAUAAACCAUUGACCAUCGGGGCAUGACCAUAAAAUAUAUCUCUCAUAUAAAUAGAACAACCAUUAUUCUCGGAUUUAAAUGAGUAGCCAUCUCGUAUUAAACGAGAUCCAGAUACAAUGUUCAUGCUCAAACUUGGCACUAAAUAACAAUUAUUGAGGUUUAAAACUAAUCACGUGGGUAAAUGUAGAGGCAGCGUGCCGACGGCGAUCACAUCGACCUUGGAACCAUUCCCGACGCGCAUCGUCACCUCGUCCUUCGCCAGUCUCCGCUUAUUCCACAGCUCCUACUAUGAGUUACAAAUAUGAGCAAUGGCACCGGUAUCAAAUACCCAGGAGUUACUAUGAGUACUGGUAAGGUACACAUCAAUUACAUGUAUAUCACAUAUACCUUUAGUGUUUUCGGCCUUCUUGUCCGCUAAGUAUUUGGGGCAGUUCCGCUUCCAGUGACCCUUCCCUUUGCAAUAAAAGCACUCAGUCUCAGGCUUGGGUCCAUUCUUUGACUUCUUCCCGGCAACUGGCCUACCGGGUGCGGCAACAUCCUUGUCGUCCUUCUUGAAGUUCUUCUUACCCUUCCCUUCUUGAACUUGGUGGUUUUAUUGACCAUCAACACUUGAUGUUCUUUCUUGAUUUCUACUUCUGUUGACUUUAGCAUUGAAAAUACUUCAGGAAUAGUUUUCACCAUCCCCUGCAUAUUGUAGUUCAUCACAAAGCUCUUGUAGCUUGGUGGGAGCGACUGAAGGAUUCUGUCAGUGACCGCCUUGUCCGGGAGGUUGAUGUCCAGCUGGGACAGGCAGUUGUGCAACCCAGACAUUUUGAGUAUGUGCUCACUGACAGAACUAUUUUCCUCCAUCUUACAACUAUAGAACAUGUCGGAGACUUCAUAUCUUUCGACCCGGGCAUGAGCUUGGAAAACCAGUUUCAGCUCCUUGAACAUCUCAUAUGCUCCGUGUUGGUCAAAAUGCUUUUGGAUCCUCGGUUCUAAGCUGUAAAGCAUGCCGCACUGAACGAGGGAGUAAUCAUCAGCACGUGACUGCCAAGCGUUCAUAAUGUCUUGGUUCUCUGGGAUGGGUGCAUCACCUAGUGGUCCUUCUAGGACAUAUGCUUUCUUAGCAGCUAUGAGGAUGAUCCUCAGGUUCUGGACCUAGUCCGUAUAGUUGCUUCCAUCAUCUUUCAGCUUGCUUUCUCUAGGAACGCGUUGAAGUUCAUGUUGACAUGAGCGUUGGCCAUUUGAUCUACAAGACAUUUUUGCAAAGAUUUUAGACUAAGUUCAUGAUAAUUAAGUUCAUCUAAUCAAAUUAUUUAAUGAACUCCCACUCAGAUUUGACAUCCCUCUAGUCAUCUAAGUGUUACACGAUCCGAGUCGACUAGGCCGUGUUCGAUCAUCACGUGAGACAGACUAGUCAUCAUCGGUGAACAUCUCGAUGUUGAUCGUAUCUUCCAUACGACUCAUGUUCGACCUUUCGGUCUCUGUGUUCCGAGGCCAUGUCUGUACAUGCUAGGCUCGUCAAGUUUAACCUAAGUGUUUUGCAUGUGUAAAACUGUCUUACACCCGUUGUAUGUGAACGUAGGAAUCUAUCACACCGGAUCAUCACGUGGUGCUUCGAAAUGACGAACUUUAGCAACGACGCACAGUUAGGGAGAACACUUUCUUGAAAUUAUUAUAAGGGAUCAUCUUAUUUACUACCGUCGUUCUAAGUAAACAAGAUGCAUAAACAUAAUAAACAUCACAUGCAAUUAUAUAGUAGUGACAUGAUAUGGCCAAUAUCAUAUAGCUCCUUUGAUCUCAAUCUUCGGGGCUCCAUGAUCAUCUUUGUCACCGGCAUGACACCAUGAUCUCCAUCAUCAUGAUCUCCAUCAUCGUGUCUCCAUGAAGUUGCUCGCCAACUAUUACUUCUACCACUAUGGCUAACGGUUUAGCAAUAAAGUAAAGUAAUUACAUGGCGUUAAAUCAUUGACACACAGGUCAUACAAUAAUUAAGACAACUCCUAUGGAUCCUGCCGGUUGUCAUAUUCAUCGACAUGCAAGUCGUGAUUCCUAUUACAAGAACAUGAUCUCAUACAUCACAAUAUAUCAUUCAUCAUUCAUCACAACUUUUGGCCAUAUCACAUCACAAGGCAAUUGCUGCAAAAACAAGUUAGACGUCCUCUAAUAGUUGUUGCAUCUUUUACGUCGCUGCAAUAGGGUUCUAGCAAGAACGUUUUCUUACCUACGAAAAAGCCACAACGUGAUUUGUCAACUUCUAUUUACCCUUCAUAAGGACCCUUUUCAUCGAAUCCGCUCCAACUAAAGUGGGAGAAACAGACACCCGCUAGCCACCUUAUGCAAGUAGUGCAUGUCAGUCGGUGAAACCUGUCUCAUGUAAGCGUACGUGUAAGGUCGGUCCGGGCCGCUUCAUCCCACAAUACCCUGAAGCAAAAUAAGACUAGUAGCGGUAAGAAAGUUGACAACAUCUACGCCCACAACAGAUUUGUGUUCUACUCGUGCAAUAGAGAACUACGCAUAGACCUAGCUCAUGAAGCCACUGUUGGGGAACGUUGCAUAAAAUAAAAAAUUUCCAACGUUCACCAAGAUCAAUCUAUGAGUUCAUCUAGCAACAAGAGAGGGAGUGCAUCUACAUACCCUUGUAGAUCGCGAGUGGAAGCGUACAAGAGAAUGGGGUUGAGGGAGUCAUACUCGUCGUGAUCCAAAUCACCGGAGAUUCUAGCGCCGAACGGACGGCACCUCCGCGUUCAACACACGUAUGGUCAGCGUGACGUCUCCUCCUUCUUUAUCCAGCAAGGGGAAAGGAGAGGUUGAUGAAGAUCCGGCAACACGACGGCGUGGUGGUGGAUGCAGCAGAGUUCCGGCAGGGCUUCGCCUAGUGACUACGGGAGGAGGAGGUGUAGAAAGGGGGGAGGGAGGCGCCAAGACUUCAGGGUGCGGCUGCCCUCCCCUCCCCCUCCUUUAUAUAGGCCCCUUGGGGGGGAGCCGGCCCUGGAGAUGGGAUAUCCAAAGGGGGCGGCGGCCAGGGGGGUGGAGUGCCCCCCAAGGCAAGUGGAGGCGCCCCCCCACCCUAGGGUUUCCAACCAUAGGCGCAGAGGGGGGCCAAGGGGGCACACCAGCCCACCAGGGGCUGGUCCCCUCCCCACUUCAGUCCACGGGGCCCUCCAGGAUAGGUGGCCCCACCCGGUGGACCCCCGGGACCCUUCCGGUGGUCCCGAUACAAUACCGGUGACCCCCGAAACUCUCCCGAUGGCCGAAACUGGACUUCCUAUAUAUAAUUUUAUCUUUGGACCAUUCCGGAACUCCUCGUGACGUCCGGGAUCUCAUCCGGGACUCCGAAAAACUUUCGGUUUGCUGCAUACUCAUAUCUCUACAACCCUAGUGUCACCGAACCUUAAGUGUGUAGACCCUACGGGUUCGGGAGACACGUAGACAUGACCGAGACGGCUCUUCGGUCAAUAACCAACAUCGGGAUCUGGAUACCCAUGUUGGCUCCCACAUGCUCCUCGAUGAUCUCAUCGGAUGAACCAUGAUGUCGAGGAUUCAAGCAACCCCGUAUUCAAUUCCCUUUGUCAAUCGAUAUUUUACUUGCCCGAGAUUCGAUCGUCGGUAUCCCAAUACCUCAUUCAAUCUCGUUACCGGCAAGUCACUUUAAUCGUACCAUAAUGCAUGAUCCCGUGACCAGACACUUGGUCACUUUGAGCUCAUUAUGAUGAUGCACUACCGAGUGGGCCCAGAGAUACCUCUCUGUCAUACGGAGUGACAAAUCCCAGUCUCGAUCCGUGUCAACCCAACAGACACUUUCGGAGAUACCUAUAGUGCACCUUUAUAGUCACCCAGUUACGUUAUGACCUUUGGUACACCCAAAGCUAUCAGGACCCCGACUCAAUGCCACAUCGAUCUAGCAUGUAACACCUCAUAUCACUUUGCGGCCUCACGCACGGUAUUCCCACGGGUGUCGUCUUACCUUUGCCCGGGACCGUUUGCACCUUUUGGCACACGUAUAUGAUAGUGUUGCUGGCAUCCAUAUGGUAAGGAGCCCGGGCUGACAUGGCUAGUCGUAAACCCAAAGUGGCACAGACUUACAGGGACAGGCAUCCAUGACCCAGCAUCGAACGUGUCGGUCAUCAGCAAGUGAAUCCGGGCUUUAGCACCGGGCUAGCAGGACUCCGGUAAACCGUGCUGCAGCGGGCUAACAGGACUCCGGUAUUCAUCGCAUGACAUUUCGCCGAAGGGACAGACACAGGAACGAAGAAGGCACAUGCCGGCCAGCCUAAGUGUUCCGGAGCAGUAGCAAGCUACCAUGGCUCAGUGGAAGCACUAGGAGACAUUUCCCGGUAAGAGAGGCUACUAAGGAUAAACAACUAGAUAGUCAGAUCCCACACAUACCAAGCAUUUCAAUCAUACACACAAUAUGCUCGAUAUGUGCAAAUACAACAAGGCAUCACAACAUGACUCUACAACACAAGUACUUUAUUUAAAGGCUCAGAGAGCCAUACAUAGUAUACACACAAGUACGGGUCACAUGACCCACAUUCAAGUAAUACAAGCAUACAAGCCAACAGCGGAAGUAACUUGUCUGAGUAGAGACAACUAGUAAAAUAAAAGAGGCCUGGGUAAGCCUAGCUAUACUACAUGGUCCUUCACAAGCUCAGGAUCACCACCUGGGCCUCAGUCUACUCAUCGAUGUCAACGUCUACGAAGAACCUGUCAGAAGGGGUUGUAGCAUCUUCUGUAAAAUGUAAAUUAGAGCAACAUGAGUACAAAGGUACUCAGCAAGACUUACAUCAGAUCCUACAUACAUGCACAUUAUCAAGAAGGGUUGGUGGGGUUAUUGCAGCAAGCCAGCUUCGACUCUUGGCUAAGCUAUCCUAUGAGACUCCAACUUGAAAUGGUUUUGCACACACGAGUCCACUACUCACCACUUCAAUACACAACCGAGGAUUCACCUCCGUCUUCCUACGGAAGAGCCAUCCUCGGCACUCACAAUUAUCUUGAGGCUUUUAGUAGUUUCCAUUUACUUGUCUAUGAACUGUUAUAGGCAACACAGAAGUCCUUUACCGCGGACACGGCUAUUCGAAUAGAUCAUUUAUAACCCUGCAGGGGUGUACUUCUUCAUACAUGUUUCCACCACUUAGCAUCUGCACACGACAUGUGCUCGGCAGACUUCAAGCGAAAGCGAAAGCCUAAACACUCAAGUCUCUAGUCCAGGUUUAUCGCCUAUUCAGGUUCCAUCCGCAGGGAGUCCGUCCGAGGUUUCCACAUACGGCCCCGAACGAUGUGUAUAGGGUUCCGUGACACCAAACAGGCGCCCGGUAUACCCGGCCACGUGCCUACCGCAUCACAGCCCACCCCUUCGAUCAGCGUUGCGCACGACCUCCAGCAUACUACAAACACCAGAAACUACUUGCAACUCCUGGACAGAGGACAAGGGUGAUUAAGAAGUCGAGCAGGGUCAUAUUUCAGGGCCCAAUGCAUGGUAGUAGCUGAACCAUGGAUCACAAACACAGAACUCAGUUCCUGAGGACGGCUUCAAUGAGACAAUCCACCAUGUACUCCUACAUGGCCUCUCAUAGCUACCUUUACCAAAUCCUGUUCACACACUUAGCUCACACUCAGUAGAAUAUGUUCACGCACCUCUGAUUCAUCCCCGAUGAAUCAGACCUGACUCAACUCUAAGCAAUAGCAGGCAUGACAAACAAACAUGAAUGAGUAGGCACAACAGGGCUCAAACAACUCCUACUCAUGCUAGUGGGUUUCAUCUAUUUACUGUGGCAAUGAUAGGUCCUGCAGAGGAUAAAGGGGUUCAGCUACCGCAGCAAGUAACAGAUGAAUCAUUGCUGUCCUAAUGCAGUAAAAGAGAGCAGGAGCGAGAGAGUAGGAUUGUAUCGAAAUGAACAAGGGGGUUUUGCUUGCCUGGCACUUCUGAAGAUAGUAUACUUCUUCAUCGGUGUCAGCGAUCACAACGUCGGUACAACGUCUACCGAGGGGGAACAACACUGGCAAACAGAGAAGAAACACGAUCAAUGCAAUGCACAAUAUGAUGCCUGCUAUGACAUGGCAAUAUGAAUGUGUUUUGGGCUAAUGCAAGCUAGAACAGAUUGAGAUGAGUCCAUUUGAACCAAAGAUUCAAAUGCAAACCCAUUUUAAGAGGUCAUAAUAGUGUAUUAACUUGUUUCACCUAAACAGCAAGGUUAAUGUGUUCUAACAUGCAUGAAACCAGUGCAGAUGGAUAGAUUGGAUUUUUUUGAUCAUUUUUCAUAUAUAAAUUAUUUCAUUCUAAGUUACGGUUAAAUUUCUAUGAAUUUUAGAAGUUUAGAGCAUUUUCUGGAAUUUCCUGUAUAAAAAUAAAUCUAGAAAAUACUUAUUGCGUCAGCAUUGCGUCACUCUGACGUCAGCAGUCAACGAGGCCGGUCCAGGUCAAACCUGACGUGUGGGGUCCACACAUCAGUGACACGGUUAACCAACAGGGUUAAUUAAAAUUAAACUAAACCUAAUCUAGUUUAGUUAAGGCCUGGGCCCACAUGUCAGAGGCUAACCUAACUAACUAAGUUAAUUACCGCUCAUUAAUCUAUCGCUUAAUUAAGCAGGGGCCUGGCCCACACGUCAAUGAGUCAGGGGGAAGUCAAACCCCGGUCAAACCCGCCGGACCUGGUCCACGGCUCGUCGCCGGCGACGACAGAGACAACGAGGCGGCUCGGGAAUGCUCUACAGGGCACCGUUUUACUCGUGGUUUGCGGCUACGGCUAGCUAGCAAUGCGGCGCAUCUAAUGGAGCGAAUGGGUGGAGCUGGGGUGGCCUGAGCCGACGGCGGCGAGCUCCAAGGCGGCGGCCGGAGUUCGGGCAAUGACGGGUUUGGCGCCACAGUGCAUGGGAGGAGGAGCUGGUGGGCGCUACGGGCUCUUGGGGGUGCACUGGGUGUAGUGACGCGCUCGGUUUGGACGGAGGUGAACUAAAAUGACGACAGCGACAAGUCUGGCACCAGUGAGGUUUCGGUCUCGACGGAAACGAGGGCUACGAUGAGCUAAUGGACAUGUGAGUAGGGGGGUCAGUAAAGGAGCUUACGGCGAGUGCAGAGGUGGCCUCGGCGUGCUCGGGGAAGCACUGGAGCGAGCGGUGCGGCGAGAGGGAUCUCCGGCGGCCGGUGACGAAGAUGAUCAAGAUGGCGUCAAUCCAGGGCCUCCGGCGAUGCGUGGCUAGACGGAGAGGACGAGGGAGGCGUGGCGAUGCUCGUGGACACGUCGGAGAGGCUCGGGGUUGGCUGCGGCUGCGGCUAUGGCGAACGGCGGCGGCGGUGGCGUUCGGUGGUGAGAGGGAGAGAGAGUAGAGGAGGGGGAGGAGCAUGGGGAGAGUGAGAGAGAGCCACAGGGGUUGCGUGUCGACGUCCAUGGCAUCCAGAGGGACGUCGGGAGGCGGUGGAAAGCUGGAGGUGGCCGAGGGGCGUGGGCGUGAAUGGCGGCCACACGCCUCUCAUCCUACUGGCGAGAGGUGGGAGAUGACUGGCAGAUGGGCCUGGUGGGCUGCUACAGUGCCAGGCCGGCCAGGUAAGCGCCAGGUAUUCUCUCUCUCUCUCUCUUUUGUUAAUGUUUUUCUAUUUUUCUGUAACUUCAGGGCUUUAUUAAAAAUGCCAGGGCAUUUCCAAAAAUCAUGAAACUAAUCAUGGCUACUGUUUAGAAUAUAUCCAACAGUAAACAUUUUAGUUUAUGAUUAUUUGAGCAUUUAAAAUAUUUUAUAGCACUUAAAUGCCCAAAUGCAAAUACUAUAGGAUUUAAUUUAGAAAUCCAGAAUGGCCUAGAAAUAUGUGCAUGACAUUUGGCAGAGGUUUUCACCUUUGACCGAAAUCAUGAACUUUUCUAAAGGGCAUUUGGGAUCACUAAAAAUAUUAUUUUUUUGAACCUAGUUGAAUUCAUUUGGUGCUAGGGUUUCAACAAUCCCCAUUUCAAGUUUCAUGAAAUUUAAACAUGAUGCAUGGAUGCAAAGUCACUAGUUACGAGCAAACUCUAGGGCUGUGAUAACUCACCCCCACUAAACAAGAAUCUCGUCUUGAGAUUCAAGACGUGAGGUAAGAAGACAAAGGGGGCACAAAACCAACACAAUCUUCAUGAUCCAGGUUGCACCUCAUAAGGUUGUUGAUUCGUUGCAUACAUUGAUCUUGACAUCCUCGCUUUUGAGAUCUUCAUCCAUGCGAUGACGACGGAAAGGAACUCUACUAGGAUUGAUCUUCUCAAAGACCGAAUUAUACAAUCUCAACUCGCGGAGUGAGAUGUUGAAACACCUUGAGUUGAGACACAAAACACAUCGAGAGGGAUGGAAGAACAAACGACGGGGUUUGAUUUGGUGGGAAACAAUUCCACGCUUAGAAAGAUGGUGGAUGGUGUCAAGGUGGCGAGGAAAUAAUUGCCAUGAUCCCGUAACGGGGCACCUUAGGGAAGGUGACUCGUAGGUUUGUUACCUUAAGUGGCAAAAGGAAUUAUUUUUGAUUCAGAGAUCAUUGAAACUCUUUAUACCAGCCUAAGGCAAUUCACAACAAUCGUUUGGCAGAGUACAAAGGGAUGGCAUACCCGGACUAGAAUGGAUGAUGUGGACUACCUUGUUGAAGACAACGUAAUGAAUGCUUUUUGCUUAUCAUCGGAGGUGGAGGGGACCCAUGGUAGGACCACUUCUAAAGAUGAUCCUGAACAACAAUUGCUGAGAAGGGCAGUCCAAGGAGGAUUGGCACAAGGCGGUGCAAGCUGGGAACGAAAUGCAAAUGUCGGGAAUGUUCCAACCAUCAUAUCUGCCUGAGAUUCAGAUUUGGUUGGUGUUAGGACAUUCCAGACUCAUCAAGUCUAGGAAGAAAAAUGAAAGUUUGCAACACAAAUCGAUGAGAUGACGUCGCGAGAUUCUCGGGAGAUAAACUACGAUAGCAAGCUCCAAAACAUGAGCUGGUUCUGCUAAACAUGUGUGAACACGCUGUCCCAGACAAACAUGACCACAUAGUAGUCUUAAUAUAAAACACUACCGAGUUCAGGUGGGGAACCAUCAUUGCGGAUAACGAAGUCCUUGCAUAAGUCAUGAUUCUUAAGAAGGAGCUUCUUCUCCCUGAACAAAUCAAUCAGUGGCUUGGUGUGCUAGGGAUACGUAAGCAAUGAAGAUGAUCAGUCUAUCAGACCAUAGAAUACUUCGCACAUGCAUGACUGACUUGGGAUGAUCCCGGAGGGAACAAAACUAACUUUCUCAAAUUCACGGCGGCAACUUGCACCUAAUGCGCGUGAACUUGGAGAGAGUCACUUCUUACAUCCAAGCAUAUUCUUCAUGAACGAAACACGAAGAUAAUGCUUAUAUAGUUUCCAAUACUAGCUGAAGGUUCAACACGAAUCAUGGAAGAGAUAAAAAUGUUGCUGAUGGGCUCAACAACAAUUCAUCUAGGUUUCCAUAUAAGUGGAAUUCCACAAUUAUGUGAACAAGGCGAUAGCAUCGGUCAGACCAAAGGAUAUAACGGUGUAUGCCCGAGGAAACAACCACGGGUAAGACAACAUUACGAAUAUCGUUGGUUCUGAUUUGACUUGACAAUAGCCCAUGCUCAAAUCAGAGAUUGGUUACGAUAAUAGAUCCAACAACUGAUCACAGGGACCAAUCGAUGAAGAUAUCAUCUUUCUUCAACAUACAUACAAGAUAUCACUUAACAUGAACUAAGUCGGACAAGCUUUUAUCUUCCAACUCUCCAAGUUGAUGUAUAGCUUAACCAACUAGCUCAGGGGUAUCCAACACGGAUUCUUGGAGAAAGGGUGGUUUACAAGAAUAAACCAACUUGAUCAUGAACUCAACAUAGCGGUCAGGUGACGACCUAGUGAUACUUCCGAGAAGAUAAUCAGAAAAUCAGGAACCACCGGUAUGUUACUAAGCUCGAGAGAAAUCUUGCUUUUCAGGGCAAGACGAUAUGAUCAAAUGAGCAAGGGAUUGACAAAAUCCUAACUCAACGACCGAAGAGUGCACCGGAAAUAGGGACUAGAUAGCACAAUCAACCUUAGGGUGACGAUUCAAUAAUCAACACGCUAAGAAUGAGGUUAGCGUCCAUUUAACUACCAAGCAACGGAGUUGCUAGCAGUAUUGAUUUCACACACCAUGAUUCACUUGUCAGUAUUCCGGUUGCAACAACACGGAACCGAGGAGCGAAUGAUGAUGGCAAGAAGUAUCACUACUUCAAGAAUCCAUAAGGGAAGGUGCAAUUCUCAUGACGUUCCUGACAUAAAGUGGGUAAUACUUCAGGGUAGAACAGAACAAAAGCUGAAUUAGUAUUUGAUCUGCGAUUUACAACUGCUUUGACCCGAUCCUGGAUAUGGAUGAGGUACGGGAGUUUGUUUCUCCUAGUCAUUCUAGAAUAGAAUGGCUUGACAUACCACUAGAGUAAUAGGCAUCAAUGAACGAAUGCACGCAUACUCUUGACUAUCAAUUGAUAGAUGGGGUCGGAAUACAACUAAGGAGGGACAACCCAAACGAACUUACGAUCUUCUGAGUUGUGGAUGCACAUAUUAGUAUGUCGAGCAAAGAUCAACAUUUUUCUUCCGGAUAACCCAUGCGGAGAAGGUAGGACUGGCAGAUUCACAAUAUAGAAUCGAGAACGCAUCAAGAGCACUCUGGUUGUGAUCUUUCGGUUAAACGAGGAACUUCUGCCAUAAGUAGUUCAUGGUAUUUGGAAGAAGGAAAUACCACGGACCUCGAGGACUAAUGCAAAGGUUACUAAUUUCCUAAAGGAACUAGCAAACACUAUCAUCAUGAGUAAGUGGGGUGAAUCUCGGUUCAAGAACCCAGGAAUAGAAUACCUACUACUAAGUGGCAUCACGGGAUGCUUUCGAGAAUAAAGGCCAGAAUUAUCACACCGGGAACAAAUCAUGGCUAGAUUACUAGAUGAUCCCCUAGGACACCUAGGGUCAUAAUAAUAAUUCCAACAUAUAUGUCGAGGCAAUAGAAUACUUCAACUCAGCAAUUAGUGUGAUUAACCUGGCUCAAAGGAACAUCAAAACCAGAGGGAAAUGAUUUGCAAGUGCAUCAGAUUGUUUAGAAACCUGGGAUGACUCGGACAACAUAACGGCUGUAAAUGCUCAAAAGGAAUUUUGAGACAUUUUGCAAAGAGUUGCAUAGACACUCAACAAUAUCAUAUCAAGGUUCUGGGUCCAACUUAGCAACAUAAUAGGGUAGUAGAACUGAACUAGGCUUAUAAUCAUCAAACCAAUAAGGUACUACUGAUUAGUAACACGUGAACCUGAUAGAGAGAAAAGAUCCUAAUCCUUAACCCCCGGUGGAAGAAUGGACUGACUCAGAUCAGAAUGCCAUGAGGUAAAGAAGUAAAAAGAGCCUUACGUACCAUCCCACAAUCAAUUCCCCUACAUAUAACUAAAGCAUUUCUAGACUCAACAUCGACCAGUUUGGCUUGGUAAUCCUACAGGCAGUCAGGCUCUUAUACCAAAGCUGUCAGGUCCUGAACGAUGUGUACAGGGUUCCGUGACACCAAACGGGCGCCCGGUAUACCCGGCCACGUGCCUACCGCAUCACAGCCCACCCCUCCGGUCAGCGUUGCGCACGGCCUCCAGCAUACUACAAACACCAGAAACUACUUGCAACUCCUGGACAGAGGACAAGGGUGAUUAAGAAGUCGAGCGGGGUCAUAUUUCAGGGCCCAAUGCAUGGUAGUAGCUGAAUCAUGGAUCACAAACACAUAACUCAGUUCCUGAGGGCGGCUUCAAUGAGACAACCCACCAUGUACUCCUACAUGGACUCUCACCGCUACCUUUACCAAAUCGUGUUCACACACUUAGCUCACACUCAGUAGAAUAUGUUCACGCACCUCUGAUUCAUCCCCGGUGAAUCCGACUUAACUCAACUCUAAGCAAUAGCAGGCAUGACAAACAAACAUGAAUGAGUAGGCACAACAGGGCUCAAACAACUCCUACUCAUGCUAGUGGGUUUCAUCAAUUUACUAUGGCAAUGACAGGUCAUGCAGAGGAUAAAGGGGUUCAGCUACCGCAGCAAGUAAUAGAUGAAUCGUUGUUGUCCUAAUGCAGUGAAAGAGAACAGGAGCGAUAGAGUAGCAUUGUAUCGGAAUGAACAAGGGGGUUUUGCUUGCCUAGCACUUCUGAAGAUAGUAUACUUCUUCAUCGGUGUCAUCGAUCACAACAUCGGUACAACGUCUACCGAGGGGGAACAACACCGGCAAACAGAGAAGCAACAUGAUCAAUGCAAUGCACAAUAUGAUGCAUGCUAUGACAUGGCAAUAUGAAUGUGUUUUGGGCUAAUGCAAGCUAGAACAGAUUGAGAUGAGUCCAUUUGAACCAAAGAUUCAAAUGCAAACCCAUUUUAAGAGGUCAUAAUAGUGUAUUAACUUGUUUCACCUAAACAGCAAGGUUAAUGUGUUCUAACAUGCAUGAAACCAGUGCAGAUGGAUAGAUUGGAUUUGUUUGAUCAUUUUUCAUAUAUAAAUUAUUUCAUUCUGAGUUACGGUUAAAUUUCUAUGAAUUUUAGAAGUUUAGAGCAUUUUCUGGAAUUUCCUGUAUAAAAAUAAAUCCAGAAAAUACUUAUUGCGUCAGCAUUGCAUCGCUCUGACGUCAACAGUGAACGAGGCCAGUCCAGGUCAAACCUGACGUGUGGGGUCCACACGUCAGUGACACGGUUAACCAACAGGGUUAAUUAAAAUUAAACUAAACCUAAUCUAGUUUAGUUAAGGCCUGGGCCAACAUGUCAGAGGCUAACCUAACUAAGUUAAUUACAGCUAAUUAAUCUAUCGCUUAAUUAAGCAGGGGCCUGGCCCACACGUCAGUGAGUCAGGGGGAAGUCAAACCCCGGUCAAACGGGGUCAAACCCGCCGGACCUGGUCCACGGCUCAUCGCCGGCGACGACAGAGACGAUGGGGCGGCUCGUGAAUGCUCUACAGGGCACCGUUUUACUCAUGGUUUGUGGCUACGGCUAGCUAGCAAUGCGGCGCAUCUAAUUGAGCGAACGGGAGGAGCUAGGGUGUCCUGAGCCGACGGCGGCGAGCUCCAAGGCGGCGGCCGGAGUUCGGGCAACGACGGGUUCGGUGCCAUAGUGCAUGGGAGGAGGAGCCGGUGGGCGCUACGGGCUCCUGGGGGUGCACUGGGUGUAGUGACGCGCUCGGUUUGGACGGAGGCGAACUAAAAUGACGACGGCAACAAGUCCGGCGCCGGUGAGGUUUCGGUCUCGACGGAAACGAGGGCUACGAUGAGCUAAUGGACAUGUGAGUAGGGGGGUUAGUAGAGGAGCUUACGACGAGUGCAUAGGUGGCCUAGGCGUGCUCGGGGAAGCACCGGAGCGAGCGGUGCAGCGAGAGGGAUCUCCGGCAGCCGGCGACGAAGAUGAUGAAGAUGGCGUCGAUCCAGGGCCUCCGGCGAUGCGUUGCUGUGCGGAGAGGACUAGGGAGGCGUGGCGAUGCUCGUGGACACGUCGGAGAGGCUCGGAGUUGGCUGCGGCUGCGGCUAUGGCGAACGGCGGCGGCGGUGGCGUUCGGUGGUGAGAGGGAGAGAGAGUAGAGGAGGGGGAGGAGCAUGGGGAGAGUGAGAGAGAGCCACAGGGGUUGCGUGUCGACGUCCAGGGCAUCCAGAGCGACGUCGGGAGGCGGUGGAAAGCUGGAGGUGGCCGAGGCGCGUGGGCGUGAAUGGCGGCCACACGCCUCUCGUCCUACUGGCGAGAGGUGGGAGAUGACUGGCAGAUGGGCCUGGUGGGCUGCUACAGUGCCAGGCCGGCCAGGUAAGCGCCAGAUAUUCUCUCUCUCUCUUUUGUUAAUGUUUUUUUAUUUUUCUGUAACUUCAGGGCUUUAUUAAGAAUGCCAGGGCAUUUCCAAAAAUCAUGAAACUAAUCAUGGCUACUGUUUAGAAUAUAUCCAACAGUAAACAUUUUAGUUUAUGAUUAUUUGAGCAUUUAAAAUAUUUUAUAGCACUUAAAUGCCCAAAUGCAAAUACUAUAGGAUUUAAUUUAGAAAUCCAGAAUGGCCUAGAAAUAUGUGCAUGACAUUUGGCAGAGGUUUUCACCGUUGACAGAAAUCAUGAAAUUUUCUAAAGGGCAUUUGGGAUCACUGAAAAUAUAUAUUUUUUGAACCUAGUUGAAUUCAUUUGGUGCUAGGGUUUCAACAAUCCCCAUUUCAAGUUUCAUGAAAUUUAAACAUGAUGCAUGGAUGCAAAGCCACUAGUUACAAGCAAACUCUGGGGCUAUGACAAAAGCACUCCUACGGUAUCGGUAUCCGGGAGUUACACGAUCUCAUGGUCUAAGGAGAAGAUACUUGACACUGGAAAAGCUCUAGCAAACGAACUACACGAUCUUGUGCUAUGCUUAGGAUUGGGUCUUGUCCAUCACAUCAUUUUCCUAAUGAUGUGAUCCCGUUAUCAACGACAUCUAAUGUCCAUAGUCAGGAAACCAUGACUAUCUGUUGAUCAACGAGCUAGUCAACUAGAGGCUCACUAGGGACAUAUUAUGGUCUAUGUAUUCACACGUGUAUUACGAUUUCCGGAUAAUACAAUUAUAGCAUGAAUAAAGACAAUUAUCAUGAACAAGGAAAUAUAAUAAUAAUCCUUUUAUUAUUGCCUCUAGGGCAUAUUUCCAACAACAUAUUCUACGAAGAUCUUUAUCGGUCAAACCACAUAACAACAUAGGUUCUUCCCUUUGUCAUCGGUAUGUUACUUGCCUGAGAUUCGAUCGUCGGUAUCUCAAUACCUAGUUCAAUCUCGUUACCGGCAAGUAUGUUUACUCAUUCCAUAAUGCAUGAUCCCGCAACUAACUCAUUAGUCACAUUGCUUGCAAGGCUUAUAGUGAUGUGCAUUACCGAGAGGGCCCAGUGAUACCUCUCCGACAAUCGGAGUGACAAAUCCUAACCUCGAUCUAUGCCAACUCAACAAGUACCAUCGGAGACACCUGUAGAGCACCUUUAUAAUCCCCCAGUUACGUUGUGACGUUUGGUAGCACACAAAGUGUUCCUCUGGUAUUUGGGAGUUGCAUAAUCUCAUAGUCAUAGGAACACGUAUAAGUCAUGAAGAAAGCAAUAGCAACAAACUAAACGAUCAAGUGCUAAGCUAACGAAAUGGGUCAAGUCAAUCACAUCAUUCUCUAAUGAUGUGAUCCCGUUAAUCAAAUGACAACUGUCUAUGGUUAGGAAACACAACCAUCUUUGAUUCAACGAGCUAGUCAAGUAGAGGCAUACUAGUGACACUUUGUUUGUCUAUGUAUUCACACAUGUACUAAGUUUCCGGUUAGUACUAUUCUAGCAUGAAUAAUAAACAUUUAUCAUGAUAUAUGGAAAUAUAAAUAACAACUUUAUUAUUGCCUCUAGGGCAUAUUUCCUUCAAAAUUUAGAGAUGACAAACAAAGCUUAAGUAGCAUCUGUUCUACUUGAUUGUAGAAAUUUCUUUUACCUGUAGAAUAACUCGGUUGUUAUUUCUUUAAACAUGAAGUGUGAUAUUAACUUAUCUCAAUCUAGGAACACAAAGCAAAUAUUACAUGUGCUUCUAUGGACUCCAAGCAGAUGAGAAAUCAUUUUGUCUAGAAGUUCCUUAGAAGGAUAUAAUAGUUUUGACCUAAACAAAUUUACUAUUGUACUCGUGUCUUACAAAGUUAAAGCUGAAAAUCAACAUAACCAUUGGACCCUUUGAAAGACAAGUGUAGGAAAUAAAUAGUAGGAUAUAAAUUUGAGCAGAAUGUUUGAUCAAAUACUGAACAAAUAACCCAGCAAACUACUAAAACUCGUCUAUUCUACCUUAUAUGAACUGUCACGAUGAUAAAGCUAUGAUUUUUUUUGGCAAAUAAGUAUCCUAGAACUAAUACAAGUUCAAACAAAUCAGCCACAGAUCCCCGAGCCCAUCCAACCAGAUAGCUGAAACUGAAAGAAGCAUUAGCUCGAUUAGAGCACCUACAGCGGAACUUGACAAAUUUGACCCCUGAAACGCCCGCGGACACGCGUGUUAGUAGACAUAAACCAAUCUUUAAGCAGAGCACGUCCGGCAGUCGGAUGCUCCCCAAAGUGUUGGUCCAGUCGCCGGCAAGGUAGAGUAGGGCAUGGGAUACAAGGCGGCUCACGGGACUCGAGGCGCCACCGUCCCCCAUUCCCAACUCUUCUCAGUCGGAACCCGGACAGUGCCGGUGGACGUCAGAUCGAUGAUGGAUCCUUCCUGGGACGAGCCAGCAACAUCCACCACCACGUGGUUGUGCAGCCCGAACUAGUGCACAAUAUGGGGAGCCGGAAAAUACGACUCCGCCUCCGCAACGCCCACCACCGCGAGGGCUGUCGCUGCCUCCCGCACCCGCUGCAUUGCAUGGCAGGAGCGCCGAACUAUGUUUUGCAUCGGGCGACGCCCAUGGUGCGUCCAUGGCCUCAGUGCGCCAAUGGAGGGGCUGCGCGUCCGCCACCCAUUCAAACGCCAGAUGGACCGCACCACCUUUGUGUUGGAAAUAUGCCCUAGAGGAAAUAAUAAAAGGAUUAUUAUUGUAUUUCCUUGUUCAUGAUAAUUAUCUUUAUUCAUGCUAUAAUUGUAUUAUCCAGAAAUCGUAAUAGACGUGUGAAUACAUAGACCAUAAUAUGUCCCUAGUGAGCCUCUAGUUGACUAGCUCGUUGAUCAACAGAUAGUCAUGGUUUCCUGACUAUGGACAUUAGAUGUCGUUGAUAAUGGGAUCACAUCAUUAAGAUAAUGAUGUGAUGGACAAGACCCAAUCCUAAGCAUAGCACAAGAUCGUGUAGUUCGUUUGCUAGAGCUUUUCCAAUGUCAAGUAUCUUCUCCUUAGACCAUGAGAUCGUGUAACUCCCGGAUACCGUAGGAGUCCUUUGGGUGUACCAAACGUCACAACGUAACUGGGUGACUAUAAAGGUGCACUACAGGUAUCUCCGAAAGUGUUUGUUGGGUUGACACCGAUCGAGACUGGGAUUUGUCACUCCGUAUGACGGAGAGGUAUCGCUGGGCCCACUCGGUAGUGCAUCAUCAUAAUGAGCUCAAAGUGACCAAGUGUCUGGUCACGGGAUCAUGCAUUACGGUACGAGUAAAGUGAAUUGCCGGUAACGAGAUUGAACGAGGUAUUGGGAUACCGACGAUCGAAUCUCGGGCAAUUAAAAUACCGAUUGACAAAGGGAAUUGAAUACGUGGUUGCUUGAAUCCUCGACAUCGUGGUUCAUCCGAUGAGAUCAUCGAGGAGCAUGUGGGAGCCAACAUGGGUAUCCAGAUCCCGCCGUUGGUUAUUGACUGGAGAGCCGUCUCAGUCAUGUCUACGUGUCUCCCGAAUCCGUAGGGUCUACACACUUAAGGUUCGGUGACGCUAGGGUUGUAGAGAUAUGAGUAUGCAGCAAACCGAAAGUUGUUCGGAGUCCCGGAUGAGAUCCCGGACAUCACGAGGAGUUCCGAAUGGUCCGGAGAUAAAGAAUUAUAUAUAGGAAGUGCAUUUUCAGCGAUCGGGAGAGUUUCGGGGGUCACCGGUAUUGUACCGGGACCACCGGAAGGGUCCCGGGGGUCCACUGGGUGGGGCCACCUAUCCCGGAGGGCCCCGUGGGCUGAAGUGGGGAGGGGACCAGCCCAUAGUGGGCUGGUGCGACCCCCUUGCCCCACCUACGCCUAGGGUUGGAAACCCUAGGGUGGGGGGCGCCUCCACUUGCCUUGGGGGGCACUCCACCCCCCUGGCCGCCGCCCCCUUGGGAGAUCCCAUCUCCAGGGCCGGCGCCCCCCCAGGGGGCCUAUAUAAAGGAGGGGGAGGGGAGGGCAGCCGCACCCUGAAGUCUUGGCGCCUCCCUCCCCCCUUGCUACACCUCCUCCUCCCGUAGUCGCUUGGCGAAGCCCUGCCGGAACUCUGCUGUAUCCACCACCACGCCGUCGUGCUGCUGGAUCUUCAUCAACCUCUCCUUCCCCCUUGCUGGAUCAAGAAGGAGGAGACGUCACGCUGACCGUACGUGCGUUGAACGCGGAGGUGCCGUCCGUUCGACGCUAGGAUCUCUGGUGAUUUGGAUCACGACGAGUACGACUCCCUCAACCCCGUUCUCUUGAACGCUUCCGCUCGCGAUCUACAAGGGUAUGUAGAUGCACUCCCCUCUCUCGUUGCUAGAUGAACUCAUAGAUUGAUCUUGGUGAACGUAGGAAAUUUUUUAUUUUAUGCAACGUUCCCCAACAGUGGCAUCAUGAGCUAGGUCUAUGCGUAGUUCUCUAUUGCACGAGUAGAACACAAAUCUGUUGUGGGCGUAGAUGUUGUCAACUUUCUUGCCACUACUAGUCUUAUUUUGCUUCAGCGGUAUUGUGGGAUGAAGUGGCCCGGACCGACCUUACACGUACGCUUACGUGACACAGGUUCCACCGACUGACAUGCACUAGUUGCAUAAGGUGGCUAGCGGGUGUCUGUCUCUCCCACUUUAGUUGGAGCGGAUUCGAUGAAAAGGGUCCUUAUGAAGGGUAAAUAGAAGUUGACAACUCACGUUGUGGCUUUUUUGUUGGUAAGAAAACAUUCUUGCUAGAACCCUAUUGCAGCCACGUAAAAGAUGCAACAACAAUUAGAGGACGUCUAACUUGUUUUUGAAGCAAUUGCCUUGUGAUGUGAUAUGGCCAAAAGUUGUGAUGAAUGAUGAAUGAUAUAUUGUGAUGUAUGAGAUCAUGUUCUUGUAAUAGGAAUCACGACUUGCAUGUCGAUGAGUAUGAAAACCGGCAGGAGCCAUAGGAGUGGUCUUAAUUAUUGUAUGACCUGCGUGUCAAUGAUUUAACGCCAUGUAAUUACUUUACUUUAUUGCUAAACCGUUAGCCAUAGUAGUAGAAGUAAUAGUUGGCGAGCAACUUCAUGGAGGCACGAUGAUGGAGAUCAUGAUGAUGGAGAUCAUGGUGUCAUGCCGGUGACAAAGAUGAUCAUGGAGCCCCGAAGAUGGAGAUCAAAGGAGCUAUAUGAUAUUGGCCAUAUCAUGUCACUACUAUAUAAUUGCAUGUGAUGUUUAUUAUGUUUAUGCAUCUUCUUUACUUAGAACGACUGUAGUAAAUAAGAUGAUCCCUUAUAAUAAUUUCAAGAAAGUGUUCUCCCUAACUGUGCGUCGUUGCUAAAGUUCGUCGUUUCGAAGCACCACGUGAUGAUCGGGUGUGAUAGAUUCCUACGUUCACAUACAACGGGUGUAAGACAGUUUUACACAUGCAAAACACUUAGGUUAAACUUGACGAGCCUAGCAUGUAUAUACAUGGCCUCAGAACACAGAGACCGAAAGGUCGAACAUGAGUCAUAUGGAAGAUACGAUCAACAUGGAGAUGUUCACCAAUGAUGACUAGUCCGUCUCACGUGAUGAUCGGACACGUCCUAGUCGACUCGGAUCGUGUAACACUUAGAUGACUAGAGGGAUGUCAAAUCUGAGUGGGAGUUCACUAAAUUAGAUGAACUUAAUUAUCAUGAACUUAGUCUAAAAUCUUUGCAAAAAUGUCUUGUAGAUCAAAUGGCCAACGCUCAUGUCAACAUGAACUUCAACGAGUUCCUAGAGAAAACCAAGCUGAAAGAUGAUGGCAGCAACUAUAUGGACUGGGUCCAGAACCUGAGGAUCAUCCUCAUAGCUUCCAAGAAAGCAUAUGUCCUAGAAGGACCACUAGGUGAUGCACCCAUCCCAGAGAACCAAGAUGUUAUGAACGCUUGGCAGUCACGUGCUGAUGAUUACUCCCUCGUUCAGUGCGGCAUGCUUUACAGCUUAGAACCGGGUCUCCAAAAGCGUUUUGAGAAACACGGAGCAUAUGAAAUGUUCGAGGAGCUGAAAAUGGUUUUCCAAGCUCAUGCCCGGGUCGAGAGAUAUGAAGUCUCCGACAUGUUCUAUAGUUGUAAGAUGGAGGAAAAUAGUUCUGUCAGUGAGCACAUACUCAAAAUGUCUGGGUUGCACAACUGCCUAACCCAGCUGGACAUCAACCUCCCGGACGAGGCGGUCAUUGACAGAAUCCUUCAGUCGCUCCCACCAAGCUACAAGAGAUUUGUGAUGAACUACAAUAUGCAGGGGAUGGUGAAAACUAUUCCUGAAGUAUUUUCAAUACUGAAGUCUGCAGAGGUAGAAAUCAAGAAAGAACAUCAAGUGUUGAUGGUCAAUAAAACCACCAAGUUCAAGAAGGGCAAGGGUAAGAAAAACUUCAAGACGGACGGCAAGGAUGUUGCCGCACCCGGUAGGCCAGUUGCCGGGAAGAAGUCAAAGAAUGGACCCAAGCCUGAGACUGAGUGCUUUUAUUGCAAAAGGAAGGGUCACUGGAAGCGGAACUGCCCCAAAUAGUUAGCGGACAAGAAGGCCGGCAACACUAAAGGUAUAUGUGAUAUACAUGUAAUUGAUGUGUACCUUACCAGUACUCGUAGUAACUCCUGGGUAUUUGAUACCGGUGCCGUUGCUCAUAUUUGUAACUCACAGUAGGAGCUGCGGAAUAAGCGGAGACUGGCGAAGGACGAGGUGACGAUGCGCGUCGGGAAUGGUUCCAAGGUCGAUGUGAUUGCCGUCGGCACGCUGCCUCUACAUUUACCCACGGGAUUAGUUUUAAACCUCAAUAAUUGUUAUUUAGUGCCAAGUUUGAGCAUGAACAUUGUAUCUGGAUCUCGUUUAAUACGAGAUGGCUACUCAUUUAAAUCCGAGAAUAAUGGUUGUUCUAUUUAUAUGAGAGAUAUGUUUUAUGGUCAUGCCCCGAUGGUCAAUGGUUUAUUCUUAAUGAAUCUCGAACGUAAUGUUACACAUAUUCAUAGUGUGAAUACCAAAAGAUGUAAAGUUGAUAACGAUAGUCCCACAUACUUGUGGCACUGCCGCCUUGGUCAUAUUGGUGUCAAGCGCAUGAAGAAGCUCCAUGAUGAUGGACUUUUAGAGUCUGUCGAUUAUGAAUCAUUUGACACAUGCGAACCAUGCCUCAUGGGCAAAAUGACCAAGACUCCGUUCUCCGGAACAAUGGAGCGAGCAACCAACUUAUUGGAAAUCAUACAUACUGAUGUGUGUGGUCCAAUGAGCGUUGAGGCUCGCGGAGGAUAUCAUUAUGUUCUCACUCUCACUGAUGACUUGAGUAGAUAUGGGUAUGUCUACUUGAUGAAACACAAGUCUGAGACCUUUGAAAAGUUCAAGGAAUUUCAGAAUGAGGUAGAGAAUCAACAUGACCGAAAGAUAAAGUUCCUACGAUCAGAUCGUGGAGGAGAAUAUUUAAGUCACGAAUUUGGUACGCACUUAAGGAAAUGUGGAAUCAUUCCACAACUCACGCCGCCUGGAACACCUCAGCGUAACGGUGUGUCCGAAUGUCGUAAUCGCACUCUAUUGGAUAUGGUGCGAUCUAUGAUGUCUCCUACCGAUUUACUGCUAUCAUUUUGGGGAUACGCUCUAGAGACAGCUACAUUCACUUUAAACAGGGCUCCGUCUAAAUCCGUUGAGACGACACCGUAUGAAUUAUGGUUUGGGAAGAAACCUAAGCUAUCGUCUCUAAAAGUUUGGGGAUGCGAUGCUUAUGUCAAGAAACUUCAACCUGAAAAGCUCGAACCCAAGUCGGAAAAAUGCGUCUUCAUAGGAUACCCUAAGGAAACCAUUGGGUAUACCUUCUACUUAAGAUCCGAGGGCAAGAUCUUUGUAGCCAAGAACGGAUCCUUUCUGGAAAAAGAGUUUCUCUCGAAAGGAGUAAGUGGGAGGAAAGUAGAACUCGAUGAAGUAGUACCUCUUGAACCGGAAAGUAGUGGAGCUCAGGAAAAUGUUCCUGUGGUGCCUACACCGACUAGAGAGGAAAUUAAUGAUGAUGAUCACAGUACUUUGGAUCAAGUUGCUACUGAACUUCGUAGGUCCACAGGGACACAUUCCAAACCAGAGUGGUAUGGCAACCCUGUCCUGGAAAUCAUGUUUUUAGACAACGGUGAACCUUCGAACUAUGAAGAAGCGAUGGCGGGCCCAGAUUCCAACAAAUGGCUUGAAGGCAUGCAAUCCGAGAUAGAAUCCAUGUAUGAAAACAAAGUAUGGACUUUGACAGACUUGCCCGAUGAUCAGCGAGCGAUAGGAAACAAAUGGAUCUUUAAGAAGAAGACAGACGCGGAUGGUAAUGUUACCAUCUAUAAAGCUCGACUUGUCGCUAAGGGUUAUCGGCAAGUUCAAGGGGUUGACUACGAUGAAACUUUCUCUCCCGUAGCAAAGCUGAAGUCCGUCUGAAUCAUGUUAGCAAUUGUCGCAUACUAUGAUUAUGAGUUAUGGAAGAUGGACGACAAAACGGCAUUCCUUAACGGGCAUCUUAAGGAAGAACUGUAUAUGAUGCAGCCGGAGGGUUUUGUCGAUCCUAAGAAUGAUAAUAAGGUAUGCAAGCUCCAGCAAUCCAUUUAUGGGCUGGUGCAAGCAUCUCGGAGUUGGAACAUUCGCUUUGAUGAGAUUUUCAAAGCGUUUGGGUUUAUGAAGACUUAUGGAGAAGCCUGCGUUUACAAGAAAGUGAGUGGGAGCUCUGUAGCAUUUCUCAUAUUAUAUGUAGAUGACAUACUUUUGAUGGGAAAUGAUAUAAAACUUUUGGACAGCAUUAAGGCCUACUUGAAUAAGUGUUUUUCAAUGAAGGACCUUGGAGAAGCUGCUUACAUAUUAGGCAUCAAGAUCUAUAGGGAUAGAUCGAGACGCCUCAUAGGUCUUUCACAAAGCACAUACCUUAAUAAAAUAUUGAAGAAGUUUAAAAUGGAUCAGUCCAAGAAAGGGUUCUUGCCUGUAUUGCAAGGUGUGAAGUUGAGCUUGGCUCAAUGCCCGACCACGGCAGAAGAUAAAGAAGAGAUGAGUGUCAUCCCCUAUGCCUCAACCAUAGGAUCUAUUAUGUAUGCCAUGUUGUGCACCAGACCUGAUGUAAACCUUGCCGUAAGUUUGGUAGGAAGGUACCAAAGUAAUCCCGGCAAGGAACACUGGACAGCGGUCAAGAAUAUCCCGAAGUACCACAAAAGGACAAAGGACAUGUUUCUCGUUUAUGGAGGUGACAAAGAGCUCGUCGUAAAGGGUUACGUCGAUGCUAGCUUCGACACAGAUCUGGAUGACUCUAAGUCACAAACCGGAUACGUGUAUAUGUUGAAUCGUGGAGCAGUAAGCUGGUGCAGUUGCAAGCAGAGCGUCGUGGCGGGAUCUACAUGUGAAGCGGAGUACAUGGCAGCCUCGGAGGUAGCGCAUGAAGCAAUAUGGAUGAAGGAGUUCAUCACCGACCUAGGAGUCAUACCCAAUGCGUCGGGGCCAAUCACUCUCUUCUGUGACAACACUGGAGCUAUUGCCCUUGCCAAGGAGCCCAGGUUUCACAAGAAGACCAGGCACAUCAAGCGUCGUUUCAACUCCAUUCGUGAAAAUGUUCAAGAUGGAUACAUAGAUAUUUGCAAAGUACAUACGGAUCUGAAUAUCGCAGAUCCGUUGACUAAACCUCUUCUGCGAGCAAAACAUGAUCAACACCAGAACUCUAUGGGUGUUCGAUUCAUCACAAUGUAACUAGAUUAUUGACUAUAGUGCAAGUGGGAGACUGUUGGAAAUAUGCCCUAGAGGCAAUAAUAAAAGGAUUAUUAUUAUAUUUCCUUGUUCAUGAUAAUUGUCUUUAUUCAUGCUAUAAUUGUAUUAUCCGGAAAUCGUAAUACACGUGUGAAUACAUAGACCAUAAUAUGUCCCUAGUGAGCCUCUACUUGACUAGCUCGUUGAUCAACAUAUAGUCAUGGUUUCCUGACUAUGGACAUUAGAUGUCGUUGAUAAUGGGAUCACAUCAUUAGGAGAAUGAUGUGAUGGACAAGACCCAAUCCUAAGCAUAGCACAAGAUCGUGUAGUUCGUUUGCUAGAGCUUUUCCAAUGUCAAGUAUCUUCUCCUUAGACCAUGAGAUCGUGUAACUCCCGGAUACCGUAGGAGUGCUUUGGGUGUACCAAACGUCACAACGUAACUGGGUGACUAUAAAGGUGCACUACAGGUAUCUCCGAAAGUGUAUGUUGGGUUGACACGGAUCGAGACUGGGAUUUGUCACUCCGUAUGACGUAGAGGUAUCUCUGGGUCCACUCGGUAGUGCAUCAUCAUAAUGAGCUCAAAGUGACCAAGUGUCUGGUCACGGGAUCAUGCAUUACGGUACGAGUAAAGCGACUUGCCGGUAAAGAGAUUGAACAAGGAAUUGGGAUACCGAUGAUCGAAUCUCGGGCAAGUAAAAUACCGAUUGACAAAGGGAAUUGAAUACGGGGUUGCCUGAAUCCUCGACAUCGUGGUUCAUCCGAUGAGAUCAUCGAGGAGCAUGUGGGAGCCAACAUGGGUAUCUAGAUCCCGCUGUUGGUUAUUGACCGGAGAGCCAUCUCGGUCAUGUCUACGUGUCUCCCGAACCCGUAGGGUCUACACACUUAAGGUUCGGUGACGCUAGGGUUGUAUAGAUAUGAGUAUGCAGCAAACUGAAAGUUGUUCGGAGUCCCGGAUGAGAUCCCGGACGUCACGAGGGGUUCCGGAAUGGUCCGGAGAUAAAGAAUUAUAUAUAGGAAGUGCAGUUUCGGCCAUCGGGAGAGUUUCGGGGGUCACCGGUAUUGUACCGGGACCACCGGAAGGGUCCCUGGGGUCCACCGGGUGGGGCCACCAAUCCCGGAGGGCCCCGUGGGCUGAAGUGGGGAGGGGACCAGCCCCUGGUGGGCUGGUGCGCCCCCCUUGGGCCCCCCCUCCCGCGCCUAGGGUUGGAAACCCUAGGGUGGGGGGGGCGCCUCCACUUGCCUUGGAGGGCACUCCACCCCCUGGCCGCCGUCCCCUUGGGAGAUCCCAUCUCUAGGGCCGGCUCCCCCCCAGGGGUCCUAUAUAAAGGAGGGGGAGGGGAGGGCAGCCGCACCCUGAAGUCUUGGCGCCUCCCUCCCCCCUUGCUACACCUCCUCCUCCCGUAGUCGCUUGGCGAAGCCCUGCCGGAACUCUGCUGCAUCCACCACCACGUCGUCGUGCUGCUGGAUCUUCAUCAACCUCUCCUCCCCCCUUGCUGGAUCAAGAAGGAGGAGACGUCACACUGACCGUACGUGUGUUGAACGCGGAGGUGCCGUCCGUUCGGCGCUAGGAUCUCCGGUGAUUUGGAUCAUGACGAGUACGACUCCCUCAACCCCAUUCUCUUAAACGCUUCCGCUCGCGAUCUACAAGGGUAUGUAGAUGCACUCCCCUCUCUUGUUGCUAGAUGAACUCAUAGAUUGAUCUUGGUGAACGUAGGAAAUUUUUAUUUUAUGCAACGUUCCCCAACACUUUGGUGAGGCGGUGAUGGUACACCUAGCGCCGGAUCCAUGCAUCAUUUGGGCGGACGCAUUGGAUUCCCCGCGGAAGGAGUUCGAGUGUUGCCGUUGCCAUCGGGCAGCCUCCUCCCGGGAGCGGUGGAGCGCAAGCUGGAUGGCCAGCUCCUCCUAGGAGCCGCGUGGGAUGAGUUCGGGGUUGACGGAUCUGGAGGUGUAACACUGGGAUCCGCCUCCUGCCAUGCCGAAGAAGGCCAUAAGAUCGUCGAACGGGAGCUUGGGUGGCGGCAUAGAGUGGAGUAAAGUGGCUAGGGUUUGGUCCGGCAAGCGGAUGGGGAGGAAUAUAUGUGGGGUCGGGUGGGCCAGCGUGGACCGGGACCGACAUGGCGGACGCGCCUGGGCGCCGCAUAUUCUUCCUAGAUUUGGGCUGGAUAUCAGGGGUGCUGGUUAGCUUGGGCGUUUGAGGCCCAUCUGGAUAGUUUUUCUGUGACCUGACCGUUCGUCCGGGCGUUUGAGGUGGGUUUGGGACGCCCAGGUGUAAAUGCUCUUAGACCAUGUAGUACCUUGAGGAGGAUGGUGGGUCCAUGGAACAACUACAGCCUCUCCAUUUUGUUUGGGCGCAGGGCGAUAACGGAGUUAUCUCUACUCCUAAAGAGGGAGUCGUUAGUCUCCCUUCCACGGUUUUUUUGUCUUACCUCCCAUCUUUGUUUCAUUUUUUCCGUCUCUUUUUCCACCACCGUCUGUUUUUUCUCAUCUCCACCUGGCAUGUAACGAAAAAAAAUCUGUUUCAUAGGUCGAUUGUCAAGGUCCGAGAGCCGCCGCCACCUUCAUUGCGGACCUCUAGGUCGCCGUCCGGACACACCGCCGAGGUCCGCAAUCACCGACGUUGAGGUCCGAGAGGAGCUGCCGCCCCCUUCAUUCUGGGCCUGGACGCUUCAUGGUCCUCCUACCUCUCCCUUUCCUCUCCCCUUCUCUCCCGCUUCCAUCCUCACUCGCCGCCCCUGCCUCUCNNNNNNNNNNNNNNNNNNNNNNNNNNNNNNNNNNNNNNNNNNNNNNNNNNNNNNNNNNNNNNNNNNNNNNNNNNNNNNNNNNNNNNNNNNNNNNNNNNNNNNNNNNNNNNNNNNNNNNNNNNNNNNNNNNNNNNNNNNNNNNNNNNNNNNNNNNNNNNNNNNNNNNNNNNNNNNNNNNNNNNNNNNNNNNNNNNNNNNNNNNNNNNNNNNNNNNNNNNNNNNNNNNNNNNNNNNNNNNNNNNNNNNNNNNNNNNNNNNNNNNNNNNNNNNNNNNNNNNNNNNNNNNNNNNNNNNNNNNNNNNNNNNNNNNNNNNNNNNNNNNNNNNNNUCUCUCUCUCUCUCUCUCUCUCUCUUGUUUCCUACCCCACUGGUUCUACAAUGCUGGUCGUCGCCUUGGGUUGGCGAACCUAGCUACUGUGGGUUGGGAUUCAAAUGCCACAUCAUCUUUGGGACGCGGCCGUGACGGCUUGGCCUGAUGCCUGCGAAGUAGGGCGAGCAGAGACAACAUGAGACUGCGCCGCUGUGCUGUUCGCCGUGACGCGCUGUCACGCUGUGUAGAUGGAGGAUGCGUGCCCAAGCCUUGUUGUGCCUGUCUUCCCGUGCGGUAGUCGGGAUCUGGACUGGAUCGGGGUUGAGUUCGACACCACCGAACCCCGGCUUCCAGGAGACCAGGCGCCUCCUCUCCUCAUCACCCGUCUCACCAGAGGCAUGUGCAGAAUUCCGUACACCAUCUGCGCAAACAUGGUGGUCGACGACGCUCUGGAUGUGGUCUACGUGAGGACUAGGUUCCAUCAUUAACAUGUACCCUGGCAAGGUAUGUGCUAUGGGAUGUAAACUCUCGAUUUUAUCUUCAUUUUAGUUGCCUUCAUCUCAUGCUUUGUUCGUUCCAUAGGCAUUUGUCAUGAAUCUAUUUUCAGGAGGGUGAUGUUAACGAUUUCAAAAACUUGAUAGCAGGGUAUGGCUAUAGUUAUUGGUCAUGCAUUAUCGCGAGGCUUGACAAGCAUACCAUAAAAUGGUUUUUAUUUAUGCUCUCGUAGGUUAAACCAAUCUCUGUCAUUAUGAAAUUGGCAUAGCUGAACAUGAUCAGGACUUCAGCAGGGCAGGGUCAUUACUUUGGAGUUUCAGCACUCAUAGUUGGUGAGUGCUUAUGUCCUAAAAUUUUGGAUGUGACUAAACAUAGGCUGGUAUGGCUAAUCUUUUUUGCUUUUCUGUCCUUGCUCUUCACGGAAUCUUCAGGUUUACGGAUUGAUAAUUGUGAUCUAUGUUUCAACCACUUCCCAAUGUUUUACUUGAUGAGAAGGUUCUAAUUUUAUUUUAUUUUAUUUCACUUGAUGAGAAGGGUCCAUGUUUCACCGACUUUGUACAAGUGUGUUUGCUUAGCUAGAUUUCUGCCCUUAUUUUCUAUUUGACAUCCCUCAAUCAUUUUCUGCAGAUUCACUUCGUUCGUAUUCUAUAUUGUUGUAAGUGCACCUAGGGAUAUUAUAGUAGUUCUUAUCUGCAGUUUACUACAACUGGUGACCACAUCUCCAUAUUAUUAUCUUUAAAAUGUACUUUCAAAAAGUAAACUAAUUAACGUUAACCUUCCGCUCUGUAGAAACCACAUAAUUUCAACUCAUUAAUCAUUUUUUAGCGGAAAGGCAGUAAUCAAUGAUGGCGAUUUAAACUGUACUCCUUAUAGUAUUGAUAUUCCCCAUGCACCGGUAUGUUCUCGUACAUCCGUGAAACUUCUGAGUCAAAAUGUUAUAUCCUUAUGUAUACAGUUCAUCAUUGGUUGUUACAGAAUUUCCCAGUGGGCACAACCUCAACCCACACCUCCCACCAGGAUCUUCUCUCUGCCGGAGCCAUCCUACCUGCAGCCAGCUCCCCCUCGUACGCCCUGAUCUCCACCUUGUGUGCUGGUCCAUUCAUCAUAGCUAGAAGGUAAUGACUAAUGAGCAUGUCAUCUCUGCCCCUCUCAAUUUCAUCCUUGUGUUGUUUAUUUUUCAGAGAAUGUGGUAUUAUGUAGCCCCUCUCUGUUGAUGAAUUGAAUGUAUAGAUUAUAUACUAGCAAAAGAGCCCGUGCGUUGCAACGGGAUAAUAAAACCGACGAAUUGUACUCGUGUGACUUGAGCUUUGGUUGGUUUCACACGCUUAUACUUCUUAGUUUUCUUGUAAAAUAAUAUGGCGGUAUUUAUACUAUUCAGGGUUGGUUAUCCAUCCGUCAGGUUAUUCAGGGCGUAAAUUUACGGAAAGAAGCAUAUUGUGACGGUGAAUGCGACGGAGUCAAUCCGUGCUUUAUUAUUUGGAAAAGAGAAAUAUGCCUAUGCAUUGCUACGGCUCUAGAAUAAACCUAUACAUGGUCAAAAUACAGGACAGCAACAUGUCUUCUUUUAGUUUUUUUCAAACCAUUAGAAAUAUGUUAGAUUUUACUUAAGUUUAGUUCCCUUAUUCCACCAUAAAGCAUUCCGGUUGAAAAGGAGAUGGCGUCUGUCAUUUACUUUCUAGAAAAACAUAGAGUCGAUAAACUUUCCUGUAUCUUCAGCCAUAGGUCCUUUACUCAUAUUUAAAAAAUUGUAAUAUUUAAUCCAAGCAAAAUUAUAUGAAUUACAGGAAAAAUUGUACUCAUGUGACUUGAGCUUUGGUUGGUUUCACACGCUCAUACUUCUUAGUUUUUUUGUAAAAUAAUACGGCGGUAUUUAUACUAUUCAGGGUUGGUUAUCCAUCCGUCAGGUUAUUCUUGAAGCUAGCUAGUAAUCACCAUGAGUUCAGUUGGCGUUCCAAGUAAUCACCAAGCCAAUCGACCGUGAGCAUCCGGACGUUAGCUGCGAAUGACAGACGGCUGGAUGGGCUAAUGAAGAUUAAACCUCAAUUUUGUACGCGGUAGUGCUGCAGACCUUCUGCAGUGAGACUUCGAUCAGAAGGACUUACCAGACAGGGGCACGGAGGAUUUAGAUAUCCUACUGCAGCUGCCGCUGCUCACCAAGGAGUUGCUCCCGUGCCGCUCGAAGGUCGCCAGCUCGGGGCAGAGCAGGAGCUUAAAGGCCAUGGACACGCCAGACCUGAAGGACGGCAGUGGCAAGGGUGGCGCAGGUGGGCGACGUUGCUCGCGCUCGGGGCGGACGCCGGCGGCGCUCGAUCUUGCCUAGAGCACGGAGGGGACAGGGGAGCAGGGGAAGAGGUAGGCAGUAAACCAGAUAGGAAUGGCACAUGUAUCGCAUCUGCCCUCGGCGGAGCUCCGCUCUGUCGUCAACAUCCGCGACGGACCCCACGAAGCCCAUCAUGUCGGCGUCCUUGAGGAACCGCCCCUGCUUGCCGCGGCCGACCGCAAUUUCGGAGAAAUUGGAGAUGGGGGAUCGUCCGCGGUUCGGCAACGGGUACGGGGAGGAGUCCGGGGCAAAGACUGUUCCGCUCGACCGGCCGGAGGAGCGCAGCCGCUCCGGUGGCCAGAGAUCGAGGGGGUGGCGGCGGUGUCCAACCCCCAACAGGCUGUGUUCUUUUUCUGACGGGACGAAAAAGGGGAAUCCCUUCUCUGGAACCGCUGUCGUUGCUCGACUGUGCUCCAAGCCGCCGCCGCCACCGCCGUCGCCUGAUUGCUCUCUCCCCGUCAACCCCCCCUCUCUCUCGAUCCAGCGACGCGUGUUUAGAUCGAAGCCCCCUGAAUUCCACGACCGAUCUGAUUCUAUCGAUCGAGGCAGCUCUGUUUCGAUUUGUAUAUGUACUUUUUAGGAGGAGUGUCCCGUGUUUGUUUCUGAUAGCCAUCUAUUUGUUUUAUGCUCAACAGGCCCAUUAGCCCUUGAUCUGGCCCAGGGAGUCUAGCGACCCAGGGAGUCUAGCGGGGAAGAGAGCGGGUGCGACCGAUUGGAUGCACACGACGUGGUUGGCCAUCUGAAUUAGUACCACCUUGAAUAUAUUUUAAAAUUAAAAUUGAAAACGUAAAAUCACGGAAAGAAGCGCAUUGUGACGGUGAAUCCGGAGACCCAAUCCAUGCUUUAUUAUUAGGGAGAGAUUACUAAAGAAAUCCGCCUUAAAAGGCGUUCCACUAAAAACGCAGUAGGAUCCUAUUUCAAGUUCCUUGCACUUAAACCGCAAAAGGGAAAGGCAAUUUUCCUAACUUUUCCCGUUAACGCAGAGCAGUCAGAUGAAUAACAGUAGGAUUGUUCAGUUUGUAUGCUCGUCCACUACUUCGGUUUAUUCAGGUUGCAUGAUACAGUAAUUUUGCAAAUGUGUCAGACUAUCUAUUUAGAUUAGCUAAUAGAAUUUAUUUCCACUAUGUGUUGUGCGGAGGAUAGAUCAGCAGGACUAAACAAUAUGUGUCUAACACCAUUUGCACAAUUCCCUUAAACUGCCCGCAGUAGCUGACCAAGUACCACCAAUGUUGUCAUCAGUCUUGAAGGGGAUUCAAAACCCGGUAGGAUCGCACACCGUAUGGCUUGGACAUCGGAAGAAGAUGCAAGAUUGGUAAUGAGAUUACUUGCCUCAGUGCUCAAUUUAUGAUCCUAUUCAUUUGAACUGAUUUACUUGUUUGUCUCAGCUAAUCUAUCCUCAAACGCAGACAACCAUUUGGUCGAAAACCUCAAAUGUUUCCAUCGAGAUAAUAACAAGAAGAACAUCAAGUACUGGGAUGACAUUGUUGUUACAACAAUAGUAAUAGGCCAAGUCACCGGAAGGGAGAUGCUCGUCGUGUAUGAUGGACAUGGUGGCUCGGAGGUGAGGUUAUCUUCUCUUGAAAAUCUUGACCUAGACAAAAGAAAUUAACCUUGAGGCCAUGGGAAGCAGGAAAGCGAAGGUCACGAAUGGCCGCACAAUUUGGUGGUGUUUGUGUGUUGUGCGGUCAAGCCUUUCUACGGGCUCCAUGGUGAUGCAGCAGCAUCACCUUCUUACGGAGAUGAGAUGAUGGGAUGAGGCCGCAUGGUGUUACCUAUUGUUGUUGUGUUAGCUUUGCUGUGUAUGUGUGCGUGUGAGAGAGAUCAGCGGCUGAUUGGGGAUGGUUAUGUUGUUGCUAGAUUAUAAAACAUGUCGUUUAAGUGAAUAUCAACUGUCGGAAAGAAAGCAAUGGUACUGUGAUUCUACUGUUUUAUGCUAGACGUUAAAGAAUACUACUUGCAAGCAGUUAGCGACGAACUGAGGGUUUGCAAGUAGUACUUUUUCCCAGUUGUGCUUCUACUUGCCUGAAUUUAAGUAGGAGAAAUUACCAGUUGUGUUUUUUUGAAAUAAUCUUGAUUUAACUAUGAUUUUCAGAAACUGGUACAGCUUUAACACGGUUCCUUGCUCACUGUGGUACAUUAAAACAAUAAAUUGAGGAGUUUAGAGCCUGCCUAGAGACCUCACAUAGCACCGCCUCAUUUGGCAGCGACAUCAUGAUGAUCUUGUCUGGUCUACUCCAAGUCUCCGCUUGUGGUUUGUGUUGGAAAUAUGAGCAAUUUACCGAAUGAUUUUAUUAACAAAAAUACUAGAUAAAGCAUGACUAAAAUAGGAAAUAUAAAGAAAGUCAUGCAGUCUGACAGAGAGAAGGUAAACAUCGUCUGCAUAAAUGAACUUGAGCUAAACACAUCUAGAACAGACAAUAGAUGAAGUUGCUCAUACGAAACAGAACCUAACAUACGUAGGGCAGAAACUAGAGCCAAGAACUGUAGCAGGACUUCUAACAGAAAGGAGAAGAACACGUACGGCAUAGCAGCAGCAGAAGAGCUGGACUUGGGGUCAGUGUCCUCGCCUGCCAUGUCGUCGAGGAGGUCGUGGACGUCGGGGAAGAAGUCGUCGUCGGGGAAGUAGUCGUCGGCGACCGGAUCGUCUGUGAUGAAGCAGCCAGUAGUCGCGCUGAGCGCUUCCCAAAAACCUUAUCACCCUUCUCCCGUACAUGACUCAAAAGGUGCGGUCUCUGAGGCCUACUGUCCCAACAUGCGGUGCACGCCGCAAGUCGGGAUGAGGAAGACAGCAGCAGCUCAGAGAUGGAACCGAUGGCGAGGGAAGGAGCAGUUCUGGUGCGUAUCUCUGAAAGGAGCGACCUCCCUUUUAUAGGCGCAAGAGAAGGAGGCGAGAGGCUGCGCCGGGAGCUGAAGGGAAUGUGGGAGACGAAACGAACAAGCAGCAGCUGAAGGGGCGCGCCGUUCGGAUUCAGUGUCCAGGCACAGAAAAAAACUGUUUCAGCUUCCGAGUGACCUUUCGUAUACACGUAGUGCGUGGCAAAACUUUAGACAUCGGCUCAUUCCCGCAACCCGCGGCGUGACGAGGCGGGCGGCGGAGGAGGAGCGCGCGUGGAUGUCCCUCUUGUUCUCAUGCUCAUACAAGUGGGGAAGGAGUCUCCCUUAUAAAGAGGUCCAACUCCCUCUAAACUAGCAAGGUGGGACUAAACUUUAGUUCCACCUCUUACCUUGCAUGAAUGGGCUGCGUGGGCCUCUAGGAUUUAUUAGGAAUUUCUGAAACUGCUAUUGGGCUAGGCCCAAAUAGACAAAAAUUCCAGCAGUUUGUGUUCUUUAGGUCUAUGGAAAACACCACGGUGCAUGCCAUUGUCCGUCAUUUCGGGAAAAAUGACCUAGAACAUGCAGAUAACUAAAUUUGGUGAAAGAACUGAAGAAAUCUACUACAUCACAAUAUGAAUUAAAAACAAACAAAAAAUUGGGCAGGACCUCUACAUAAAAAUGGACAGUUAUAGAAAUUUAGCGAAACGGAAAUAAAUCAACGGUUUGCCAAAAAUUUAACGCUUAUAGUAUGAAUCCCAAUAAGGAAAUGAAGACAUCUACUACAUCACAAUAUGAAUAAAACAUAAACAAAGAAAUUUGGCAUGACCUCUGCAUAAAAAUGGACAUAUUAAGUGAUUGAGAUCUGGCGAAACAGAAAUAAAUCAACGUAUCGCCAAAACUUUAGCACUUAUAGUAAGUAUACCUAUAAUGAAUUGAAGACAUCUACUACAACAUAUUAUUUAACUCAGUAUGAACAGAAAUAAUGUACGGAAUAAUACAAUAUAUAUGUGAGACUAUAUAAUUACCUCUAAUAUGAACAAAUUGGUAUUCCUUGUUCAUGGUUACGUAUGUGGCUGCUGCAACUAUAAUUGUUUUGAUGUGUGUGCCUUAAAAACUAUAGAACAAGAAACUACAACUAUAAAUGAACUCUAGUAUGAACAAAUCGAACUCAUUAACGAAUAUGAACACAUUAAUAGCAAUAACCCUAACCCUAGUCGAACGUACGUGUGCGUGUGCGUGGCGGCCGUGGCCGUGGGUGACAAGGAGGAAAGCCGGAGAGGGAGGCGCGGACGACAAUGUAUUACUGGAUGGAGCGGAGGGUGACGGGGCGGAUCGUCGGUGAGGGCGACGGGGCGGCGAAUCGAGGGCGAGGGAGACGCGCGGUGAACGGCUAGGGCGGCGACGAGUAAGCGGUGCUGAUGGCGGCAGCGGACAGGGACGACGACUUGGGUAGCAUGGAUGAGCCAACGGCGUCCGCGACGAGAUGGGGAAGAGUGGGAGUGAGAGAGUAAAUUGGGGUAGGAGGAGAGGGGGCACGUGCGUGUACGUAGGUCGAUUGAGUUUGUCGUAUGCGACCGGUGUGCCAAGCCUCCCAACACGGCUUCUUUGGGGUGGUGGGCGGAAAACCGAUUCGAUUUGGGGCAGAAUAGACAGCUAACUUAGUUGUGGCGGGUAGGGGCCCAUACCCGCCAGAGCUAAUAUCUGUAUAAAAUUUAUUUUUCUGGCGUGCAUUGCUGGCACUAAACUGUGGCCGGCCCAAUCGAGCGUCCGCCACUUUUGCAUUCAAGAACAAUGGCGGCCGAGGCUAACACCCGCCACUGAUCGCAUUCAUCAGGUGGCCAUACUCAGUGGUGCUUACUUGUGGCGGGUGGUGUUCUCCACCCGCCACUGCUACGCAUGUAACUCUGGAGGUCAUGUUGUGGCACCUGCCACUGGUACUUUUGCUAACUAGCAGUGGCAGGUGCUAUGUCCCGCCCGCCAAUCUUUCGAAUUCACCUAUAAGCCCUUUCCCAGUAGAGUAAUAAAGGACUUCUUGACAAGUCCGUGUAGAUUAAAGGUAUGUUAGUAGAUGGUGUAAUAAAUACAUGCUUUAGUGAUCUAAGGAUACAAAUAUGCCACUAUUUAUUUUGUAAAAGGUCGAAAUCAUUCUUAGAAAUCUUAGUAACAACAGUUCUCAUGAACAACUUUGACAAAAUGCAUCAAAUGUUACAAAUAAUACAUACAAACUUAGUUCAAUAAAUUAAUCAAUUGAAGUGAGAACAAACCUAAAUGUACUUAGAGUAAAUCAAUUAAUACGUGUAAAGCCAAUACUAAUCCAAUAUUUAUUAAUAAAUUUGCAUAGAAUUACAACCCUUUGACAUAGAAAGGGAAUAUGAUGAGUCAUGUAUAGAUAACUUGCACAACAUUCCUACCCUUGGCAUAAAAGGAGAAAUUGAUGAGUCAUGUAUUGAUAAUGUGCACAACAUCACUACCCUUGACAUAAAAGGAGAAUUUGAUGAGUCAUGUGUUGAUAACGUGUACAACAUUACUAUCAGUAUGUUCAACUUACCAUCAUAUUAUACAACACUACAAGUUAGUUUUAAAAAGAACAAGAGUCCAGAACGAAGAUCAGAAUACUUGCUUGAUCUAUCUUAACAACAUGCACUAGGACAAAAAUUUAGUCCCACGCAAGCUAUGAAGAUUUGUUUUAUGUAUAACUAUUUGUACAACAUGACAAACUUAGAUCCAAAAGGAAUGCAAUCCAGAUAAUUGUUUGACAUGUAAAGUGAAUAAGAUGAGUCAAUGCCAAUUAUCAAGUUUUCCUCACUCUUAGAUGAUAUGUACAAUAAAAAGACAACUUUGAUGAUCACUCUGAAAUUACGUUUGUAUGUAGUGCCACCAAACACAACAUCCCAAAUAUUAGUUUGAUAAGCAUCAAAUCACUUUUGAAAAAAGAAAGCAAUAAUGAAAAGAAACCUAACCAAGAUAGCUAUAAAAAGGCCUGCAAUAUGUAGACUCCAUACCAUCAUCCAUCCUUCACACACCUAGAGCACAAAUCAGCAAAUCCAAGUACGUAGUAGUUAACGCAAAUCGACCAUGAAGACCUUACUCAUCCUGACGAUCCUUGCGAUGGCAAUAACCAUCAGCACCGCCAAUAUGCAGGUCGACCCUAGUGGCCAAGUACAAUGGCCACAACAACAACUAGUCCCCCAACCCCAACAGCCAUUAUCCCAGCAACCGCAACAAGCAUUUCCCCAACCCCAACAAACAUUUCCCCAUCAACCACAACAACAAGUUCCCCAGCCUCAGCAACCACAACAACCAUUUCUCCAGCCCCAACAAGCAUUCCCCCAACAACCACAACAACCAUUCCCUCAGACUCAACAACCACAACAACCAUUUCCCCAGCAACCACAACAACCAUUUCCCCAGCAAUCACAACAACCAUUCCCCCAGACUCAACAACCACAACAACCAUUUCCCCAGCAACCACAACAACCAUUCCCCCAGACUCAACAACCACAACAACCAUUUCCCCAGUUCCAGCAACCACACCAACCUUUUCCCCAGCCCCAACAACAAUUCCCGCAGCCCCAACAACCGCAACAAUCAUUCCCCCAGCAACAACGACCGUUCAUUCAGCCAUCUCUACAACAACGUUUGAACCCAUGCAAGAAUAUCCUCUUGCAACAAUGCAAACCUGCGUCAUUGGUGUCAUCCCUCUGGUCGAUAAUCUGGCCACAAAGCGAUUGCCAAGUGAUGCAGCAACAAUGCUGCCAAGAACUAGCACAGAUUCCUCAGCAGCUCCAGUGCGCAGCCAUCCAUAGCGUCGUGCAUUCCAUCAUCGUGCAGCAGCAGCAACAACAACAACAACAACAACAACAACAACAAGGCAUGCAUAUCCUGCUGCCACUAUCUCAACAACAACAGUUGGGUCAAGGUACUCUCGUCCAAGGCCAGGGCAUCAUCCAACCUCAGCAACUAGCUCAAUUGGAGGCGAUCAGGUCAUUGGUGUUGCAAACUCUUCCAACCAUGUGCAACGUGUAUGUCCCACCUGAGUGCUCCAUCAUCAGGGCACCAUUUGCCAGCAUCAGGGCAUCAUCAGGGCACCAUUUGCCAGCAUAGUCGCGGGGAUUGGUGGCCAAUGAAAAAAGCAAGAUCUAUACUAAUAGAUAGAUGGAUCAUCGUUACUUAGCAGAUGCACCAAUCGAUGUAACGAUGACAAAUAAAGUGGCGUGCACCAUCAUGUGUGACCCCGACCAGUGCUAGUUCAAGCUUGGGAAUAAAAGACAAACAGAGUUCUUGUUUGCCAGCAUUGCUUGUCAUUGUUCCAUUCACCAUGUAUUUAGAUGUUCAUCCCUAACCGCAGUUCUAGGCUUACACAUCAACAGCUAGUUGCUUGUGCCGGCAGGUUCCUAUGUAAUCUACCGAUUAAUGGUUGACCUAUUAAUCCAGUUUAUAGGCCGAUUGAUCUAUUAAUUGCUGCUCCCAAACUGACCGACCAGCUAUCAGUUACCAUUUUGCUGAACAUUGCACACAGUAAUAACUCAACGUAUUUUAAUGUCUAGAAGUAAAAGGGCCAUUUUAGCAGCAAAACAAGCGCCUGAUUAGGAACCAUCCAUCACUUUAAAUGUUCACCAAGAUAUUUUUGCGUUGGUGCAAUUUUGAGAUUGGUGGCACCGAAACAUUCCUCAAAGCAAUUCUUUAUGGGACUCCAAAGAGGUGAAAAUAAAGUAAAGUUGCCACAUGGUAAAAUAUAAAUCAUGCGGCGAGCAAGAGAAAAUAUUGAGUUACGAUAGCAAGCGCCAAACAUGCCAUUAAACUCUUCAUAUGGUUUCGUGCAGAGAGGGGGGAUUUAGAGAUGACAAACAAAGCUUAAGUAGCAUCGGUUCUGAUUGUAGAAAUUUCUUUUACCUAUAGAAUAACUCGGUUGUUAUUUCUUUAACAAUGUAGUGUGAUAUUAACUUAUCUCAAUCUAGGAACACAAAGCAAAUAUUACAUGUGCUUCUAUGGAUUCCAAGCAGAUGAGAAAUCAUAUUGUGUAGAAGUUCAUUAGAAGGAUAUAAUAGUUUUGACCUAAACAAAUUUACUAUUGUACUCGUGUCUUAGAAAAUUAAAGCUGAAAAUCAACAUAACCAUUGGACACUUCGAAAGACAAGUGUGGGAAAUAAAUAGUAGGAUGUAAAUUUGAGUAGAGUGUUUGAUCAAAUAUUGAACAAAUAACCCACAAACUACUAAAACUCAUCUAUUAAUUCUACCAUAUAUGAACUGUCACAAUGAUAAAGCUAUGAUUUUUUUGACAAAUAUGUAUCCUAGAACUAAUACAAGUUCAAACAAAUCAGCCACAGAUCCCCGAGCCCAUCCAACCAGAUAGCUGAAACUGAAAGAAGCAUUAGCUUGAUUAGAGCACCUACAGCCUAACUUGACAAAUUUGACCCCAGAAACGCUCGCGGACGCGCCCGGUAGUAACCGGUCACGCCUAAAAUAUUUCAUUCUACAACCAGAUACCUCAAAUUAGAAACCUCAAAUCCAUAUUAUUACAUGCAACAUAAAUCGAUCUUUAAGCAGAGCACGUCCGGUGAUCGAAUGCUCUCCGGAGUGUUGGUCCAGUCACCGGCAAGUUAGAGUAGGGCAUGGGAUACGAGGCGGGUCACGGGACUCGAGGCGCCACCGUCCCCCAUUCCCAACUCUUCUCCAUCGGAACCAGGACGGUGCCGGUGGACGUCAGAUCGAUGAUGGAUCCUUCCUGGGAUGAGCCAUCAACAUCGACCACCACGUGGUUGCGGUGCCCGGACUAGUGCACAAUAUGGGGAGCCGAAAAAUACGACUUUGCCUUCGCAACGACCACCACCGCGAGGGCUGUCGCCGCCUCCCGCACCCGCUGCCUUGCAUGGCAGGAGCGCCGAACUAUGUUUUGCGUCGGGCGGUGCCCAUGGUGUGUCCAUGGCCUCAGCACGCCAAUGGAGGGGCUGUGCGUCUGCCACCCAUUUGAACGCUAGAUGGACCGCACCACCUCUGGUGAGGCAGUGAUGGUACACCUAGCGCCGGAUCCAUGCAUCAUUUGGGCGGACGCAUUGGAUUCCCCGCGGAAGGAGUUCGAGCAUUGCCGUUGCCAUCGGGCAGCCUCCUCCUGAGACCGGCGGAGCGCAAGCUCGAUUGCCAUCUCCUCCUAGGAGCCGCGUGGGAUGAGUUCGGGGUCGACGGAUCUGGAGGUAUAACACUGGGAUCCGCCGCCUGCCAUGCCGAAGAAGGCCAUAAGAUCGUCGGACGGGGGCGGCAGGGAGUGAAGUGAAGUGGCUAGGGUUUGGUCCGGCAAGCGGAUGGGGAGGAAUAUAUGUGGGGUCGGGUGGGCCAGCGUGGAUCGGGACCGACAUGGCGGACGCGCGUGGGCGCCCCAUAUUCUUCCCAGAUUUCGGCUGGAUAUGAGGGGUGUUGGUCAGCUUGGGCGUUGAGGCCCGUCUAGGUCAUUUUUCUGUGACCUGGCCGUCCGCCGGGGUGUUUGAAGUGGGUUUGGGACACCCGGGUGUAAAUGCUCUUAGACCAUGUAGUACCUUGAGGAGGAUGGUGUGGGUCCAUGAAAGAACUACAGCCUUUCCAUUAUGUUCGGGCGCAGGGCGAUAACGAAGUUAUCUUUACUCCUACAAGGGGAGUUGUUAGUCUCCGUUCCAUGGGUUUUUUUGUCUCACCUCCCAUCUUCGUUUCAUUUUUUCCGUCUCUCUUUCACACCGUCGGGUGGAGCUUAUGUGUCAUACUCCGUGACCUUUCAUUAGUUUUCUAGAGAGAAUCCUACUCUCAUAGAUUGCGACGUUUAACAAUCAGACUCAUAUAGGUGUGUUCUUCAAAAGAUGUUCUGCAGGACAACAUCUCUCCUUCAAAAAGCCACUUAGAACACAUUAAGAUAUACAUCAACCUACCAUGCAGAUUAGGAGAGUAUUGCAUCUUCAUGGAGUGGUAUUUUAACAAUAAGGAUACACUACUAGGGAAAAGGCUAGCAGCAGCGCGGGUUUUUGGUGUAUCAGUAGCGCGGGGUGGGGCGCUACUAAUAAGGCGCUACAGCUAACAUAUAGCAGUAGCGCGUGGUCACCGGCGCUACUGCUACACAAGUGUAGCAGCAGCGCGGUUACUGGGAGCACGCUACUGCUAGUAGCUCUAGCGCCCUUUGCAGCAACGCGCUACUGCUAUAGAGGCGCUGCUGCUAACUUCUAUACACUCGCUACUGCUAAUUUAACAGGUUUUUUGUUUUUUUGGGCAUAUUUGUUUUGUAUUUGAACAGGCUUUAUAGAAGAAUCUUUAGCACAUAGAAAUGUCAUCAUGAUACACAUACAAAUGCCUGCGAGACCACGAAUAUAAUCAUAGCAUAUACAUACAAAUAGUCUCAUCAUAAUCAUCAUCCAACACAAAGUGGUCUCUCGUCAUCAUCUCGAAAAUAGCGAUACAAGUCCUUGAUUACUUGCAAAUACAUUGUCAUCCAUCUAAACAAUGGUAUACGCGAGAAGAGCUAUCACUUUGAGAACAUGAGUUCGUAUCCCUCUCUCGCAUUAGCGUGAACCUAAACUAACUACUGCCUGUCGCUCGGAAACCGGAAACCGGCAACACCUGGGUCUGACACUCCGGUCACUCAUCGUAUAUAUACUCCUGGCGUAGCACUUCUUCGCCAUCGAUGAUCUAUGCACCUGCAUCAUCACAUGAGUAGAUGAUAUGCAACAUAUAUAGUUGAGCAACAGAAAGAGACAGACUUGACAAAAAUAGAAACAACGUAUCAUAAGCAUAAAUAACAAAGUUCAUCAUAACCAAAAUGCCCUAACUAGAGUGAUCUUCGCUAGUCGAGGAGGAGGACGGUUUAAUUACAUCACAAAUAAAGUUUUACUGCGCAUAACUCAAAGUUUUGUCAUACAGAAAGUAUGGAGUAAACAGACACAUUGUCAUAUAUUGACAAUCACUCCAACAUGCCGUGCCAUCCAUCGAGGUCAGGGAGAUAGUCCCCGAGCUUAGUGAAAGGCUUCAUGUCGAGACGCUGAGAGGCUAUCCAUGUUCGGACGUCUUCCCACAACAUUUUUCCUCCGUAGAACAUCCCUGUUUUUCCGACGACCUCUUUCAUGAUGAUUUGGGCAAGUUCGCGUUGGAUGUUAUAGAACUCAGCUCGAAGUCGAUGAUCCUCGAUAUCUCCUAUGUCCUUUGCCCAUUGCAGAAUAUGGGCAUCGCCAGAUCUAGGUGACAUGUGAAGGUUCUGGUGAUCCCGUUUGUACUCCCGCAUGUGGUGUAGGACAUAGAAUCCACCAUUAAGAGAAUCGUUCGGUUGUUGGAUGCAGCAGAAGUCGGUCUUAUGGCUGAAGGCGGCCCUGCCGCCCCUUCUCUUCUUGUCCCUAACCUCUCCACCCCUUGCUUGGUAGUAAAACAUAGCACUGUCGAGAACAUCUUUGAUGUGGGUGUAAUCCUUUUUGUGAAUGUUAUUCGAUGAGUCCAAGUAAAGAGCAUGGGAGAAUCGGGGGUAGAGGAUGAUGAGGACGGCGCGCCCGCCGCUGCGCAAAAUAAGUACACCUCAAAUUAAUUAGCCUUCACCGUGCAAAUGAAUUAUUGAAAUCGAAGGAAGGAUAGCAGCGCGGAUGACUUACACGGGAUGAUAAGGCACGAGAAUCGCCUCCUUGUCCUUAUUGGCGAGCAUGAAACUAACGAUGUAAUUCCUCGCGUAUUCACGCUGCUCUGCACAGACUCCCAAGAAGCUCUCGUGCAUGUAGUACGGGUCAGUGACACAGAUAUGACGUAUCUGCUCAACCCCAAUGAUGUAGUUCAUGUGCAAGGCAUAAAGGCGGACAAAUGUAAAAUCCAGCUUCUUCACGUGAAACAUGUCGAAUAUGUAAUCGAAUCGGAGGAAGAACUUAUCCGCAGCGAAGCUGUCGACGUAUGACAUUUUCCGCGGAACGUUAUCCACGUAGAGUGGGUAUCCUGGAUCUUUCGAGGCAAUGAGGCAUUUCUCUACCCGUAGCACAUCAUCAUGAAGUCUCCUUAGAUCGCCGAAUCUGGCCCGUAGCGCUGUUGCAGGUAGGAUUGGUUGACCGGGGAUAUGCCAUUUAUCCGCAUCGGGGAUAUCUAGACGGUCCUGAAGCUGAGGCUGCUGAGGCGGCUGGAUCAUAGAAUCAACUUUUUUUCCUUUCCUCGCUCUCUUCCUAGACUUCUUUACUACCGGAAAGUCGUCAAUAACACAUUGAGACGGUAAUUCAGGCACCGACUCAUGAUGCUCAAACCCUGAGGAGGCGCCAGUAUAGACAUACUGUUCAGCGCCAUCGUCAUCCUCAUCCUCAUCCAUGGCGACGUCAUCAGCGACUAAUGGAGCCUCCUCCUUACCCCGUCCGCUAUCACCCAACCCGACACCCAACGCUAAUUGGGUAGGUGGGGUGUUGAUGUUCAUACCUUGCUGAGACUGCGUGCUCGUGGGUGUGCUCCCGGCCGCCUCCAGACGAAGCAGACUCUUUGGCCACAACAGGACCUACCCAUUGCAACAAUCACCAAGCCGCUGCGGUGUCUCCUCGUCAUCCACCAAUAGUGUUGGAGGAGGCAAAUUCUCGUGGCCCGGUUCGACACUGGCCAUGGAAACCUUGAAGACGUUUGGGGGAAUCGGCCGGCUGUGGAACAAUGGUUCCUUCGGCUUCAUUAUCGUCGCCUUCCCCAUGGCCACCUUCUGGUCCCCGAUGGUGUACAAUAUGGUGCGCGGGGUUUCGUCGGCCUGCAAAGAGAAGUCUGCGACGUGAGACAUUCGAAAGGCAACGAAAACGGGAGAUUAUACAUUUAUAUUGAAGGGGGCCGGUGUGACAGAUACCGUGAGGGCGUCGAGCUCAGCCAAAGACAAAGCACCGCCGAGCACGUCCGGUGCGGGAGCCGGUGCGGGAGCAGGUGCUCCCAAGAAGUCAGCAAGGGGAAAGUCCUCUGCAUUUUUUUCUGGAUUUUUCCUUGUCCAAGUGAUAACGCCCGUCACCAAGGAAGUAGACAAAUCUGCAACCGCCUGUUUUGCGGCAGCUACCGCUGUUGCGACUGUCUGAGAUGAUUUCUUCUCAACCGCAAUCUCAACCUUCUUGUCGAUGUUUUUUUCAGUUAACCUCCGUCUUUCCUUUCUCUCCUCUGUGGUCUCCCGGUAGUACUUCUUCCACGUGGCGCCGUCUCCGACACCGUGCACGCGUCCAUACGAUGGUCGAGUAUCCAUCGGUUGUCGUUUCAAUAUGUUCAACGUCCGGUUGAAUGGAGUGUCCCACUUGGGCCUCGCCAAUGCCUCAGACGGCGAGUCGUUUUCGACCGCAAUCCGGUGCUGCUCUCUCUGCAAAAGGCACAAGGAUCGUUUACAAAUAUGACUAACGUGUGCAGUCGAAUUGAUCAGAAACUAAAAUUACCAGCAGUCUCAUGAACUCCGUAAUGACCGGUGUUGUCUCAUAAACCUUCUUCACUGGGUCCCAACGGUGCCGAGCCCUCAGGACGUCACGCUCCUGCGGGACAGUGAAAUCCGCCAAGGGGUCUGGGAUGCCCAGACUCGCGGCUUCCGCGUCCUCCUUGGCCCAUUUGGACCUCUUUCCGCCGUAACCACGCUUCCGAGGUGGUGGCUCCCAAUGUUCCUCUUUUGAAGCCCCUUCAUGUACUUAGACUUUUUUUGGCAGCUUCGGCCUCGCAAGCCUCCUUGAAUAUUUGAAACUGCUCUUCCGUGAUUGUCAGAUUAUCCUUUACAAUCUCGGAGUAGGGUUCCCCGUCGUUGAUCUUUGCUUUCACUCAAUUUUUCCAGGCGGCCAACGCGUCGCUAAACUUGGUCAUGGCGUGUUUGUUUAUCUUCUUCAUUGCGGGGUCCUCGUCUGGAUCUUCAUAAUCCUUCUCAUUCCGGCCCGGGAACAAGAAUAUCUGGUGAAACUUCUUUAGAAGGGAGCUCCUCAUAUUUUCUAUCUUCUAUAGUUUCUCAUCAUUGAUGGUGGCGGUUGUCCGUAUGAUGCAGCCUAUUUGAUUGCCGUAGCACGCGCGCGCUUCCUCGGGCGCCUUUGGCUCAAAAUUGCCGUCGUCCACCUCUGUGACCACCAGUCUAGUAGUCCUGAGUUUGUUAGGAACCCGUUGCUUCUUUGCGUUCGGUUCUACACCAGCUCCGCUCCCCGAGACAGCACCGGUCUCAGCGCCGCUCUCGAUGCCGGUCUGAAUCUCAGCGCCGGUCUCAGUCUCAGCACCGGUCUGCGUGUCGGUCUCAGUCCCCGAUGCCACUGGUGGGCCCAGCAACAACAUCGGUUGAUCGUCGGUAAGGCUAAAAUAUUCAUCUGCCACCAGGUAGACGUCGUCGCAAUCACCAGAACCCUGUCCUUCAUCGUUGCUAGCCAUGUUUCCUAUCAUUAAAUCUAGUCAAUUAAUUCUAGACCUAAUAAAAUGAAUAAUGACAUAAAAAAGGACUAUUGUUUUGCAGGAAUGUUGACUCCUUCCUGGUGCGGAAAAUCCCGGCACUCGAUAUGUCCUAGUUUGUAGCACAAGUCAUGCCGAAAUUCACGGAAAAUUUUGGCAUGGCCUUUGCUAAAAAGUGGACAAAUCGAGAACCUGAAAUUUGUCGGAACAGAAAUGAAUCAACAUUCCGGCAAAACAUAGGCCACUCAGCAUCAUUCCCUGGAAACAACAAAGCCACUUGGGCACAAUCGAACAACUUCAAUGAAAAGAUAUAACAUGAGCAAACACUAUUGAGGAAUUUGCAUAUAACAUGGCCACUUCAAUGAAAAGAUAUAAUCAACAAUAACGGAAUAUGCAAAUGAACAUCAAUGACAUAUAGCUACUGUUCUGUUUGACCAAGUUUUUGAAAAGAAAAACAAUUCUGUUUUUUGUUUAUAGCUAAAUGCCAUAGCUACUAUUUUUUAUUUAUAGCUAAAUACUUUUGUUUUUUGUCUAAAGCUAAAAGUCUAGGAACUACAUUUUCUCUAACCCUUUUGACCUCACCAGAAUUUUCACAGCAAGACCUUAGUACCUACACCCAAUUUCUUCAAAAAUAUUCAGGUCCAUAGUCCAAAUAAUUCAAAUUUCAUUUGAAUGAAAUUUGGAACAAAUUCAGGUCCGUAGUCAAAAUAUUUUUUUAUAGCUAAGUGUUUUUUGUUUAUACCCUCUGUUAAUUUAAAUCUAAAUGCUACUAUUAUUUAUAUACCCUCUAUUAGUUUAAAGCUAAAUGGAAUUACUGUUUAGGAAUUUUCAUAAAAAUUGCCCUAGCUAAUUUCCUAAAAAAAUUGCAAAUCAUUUUUCCUAAAUGCUAUAAAAUGCCUACUGCCCUAAAAAAAUCUAGGGUUCAUAUGAACACCUAGGGUUCAUAUGAACAUCAACACAGUAUCAACAUAUAUAUAUAUAAUUGCCCUAGCAGAGAGAAAUAGGAGGGUAGGGACAGGAGAGGCAUAGCCUUACGGUCGGCGUUGAGGGCAGGCUCUGGCUCGGGCAGCGGCGGUGAGGUCAAGGGCGGCGGCGGCGAGCUCGAGGGAGGCGACAGUGAGGUCGACGGUGACAGCCUCGGGUGGCGGCUGUGAGGUCGAGGGGGCGGCCUCGGGCGGCGGCCUCGGGCGGCGGCAGUGUGGUCAAAGGCGGCGGGCGGCGGCGGUGUGGUCGAAGGCGGCCUCCGGCGGUGGCGGUGUGGUCGAAGGCGCGCGGCAGGGCAACGGCGGCGAUGAAGCAGUUGGGGGACAGGGGGGAGUAGAGAGGGGGGAAAGGACUUAGCAAAAUUUUGAGCCAGGGCCGCCGGGAUUUGAGUCAAACUAGCAGCAGCGCGUUUUGACGAAACGCGCUAUAGCUAAGAUAGCUAUAGCGUGUUCCAGAGAAAUGCGCUACAGCUAACCCUUUCUGUUUUCUUUCUCUUUUUAUUUUGUUUUCUUUACAUUUUCUUUUUUUCAUUUCUCCUUUUUCUAUUUCUUUCAUUUUCAUUUACUUUUCUACUUAAUUUUCUAUUUAUUUUCCUUUACAUAGCAGUAGCGCUGUAAAGAAGAAACGCGCUGCUACAAUGUUUUUAACAGUAGCGUGCUUCUGGGAGAAGCGCUGCUACUAUUCCUAGCCUACCGGCACCAGUGAGAGAAUUUUAGUAGUAGCGCUUUUUUGUGGAGAAGCGCUACUACUAAAAUAAUGAUUGUAGCGUGGUUUUGCAACAAGCGCUACUACUAAGUAGCGCUAGCGCCGAGUUUUGACCAACGCUACUGCUAUACCUCUGUGUAUAGCAUUUUCCCUAGUAGUGAUACUCUCCUCUCAGUUGACCAACAGCUUGUCUUCCACAUCUAAUUCACGGGAUCUCCGAUCACAAAGAAUGGGUUACCACUGUGGACACCUCAUAUUGUGGGUCUCAUUCCCAUCUCCAUCGAUGCAUUAUCUAUCACAUUACGUGAUAGACCCUUAGUAAAAGGAUCUGCCAGAUUUUUAGACGUUUGGAUAUAAUCCAAUGCAAUAACUCUCGAGUUUUUCAUUUUUCUGACAGACUUUAACCUUCUCUGAACGUGUCUUGAUGACUUCAUGUUAUCCUUUGAGCUGCUCACUUUAGUGAUCACAGUUUGAUUGUCACAGUUCAUCCGGAUACCCGGUACAGGUUUCUCAACUACCGGUAAGUCAUUCAAGAGCCGACGAAGCCAAUCUGCUUCGACCGUAGUUGUAUCUAGUGCUGUGAGUUCUGCUUCCAUUGUUGACCUCGUUAAAAUGGUCUGCUUGCAAGACUUCCAAGAAACAGCGCCACCUCCAUGAGUGAAUACAUAACCGCUCGUGGCCUUUAUCUCAUCAACAUCUGAGAUCCAGUCUGAGUCAAUAUACCCUUCAAGCACCUUUGGAUGCCUAGUGUAGUGAAUUCCAUAAUUUGCAGUGCUUUCAAAUAACGCAAAACUCUCUCUAGAGCUUUCCAAUGCACAUCUCCUGGUUUUGAGACAAACCGGCUCAGUUAGCUAACAGCAAAAGAGAUGUCAGGUCUCGUAGCACUGGCUAAGUACAUAAGCGAGCCAAUAAUGUGUGAAUAUUCCAAUUGGUCUCUAGCAAUUCUUCGAUUCUUUCGAAGCAACACACUAGCAUCAUAUGGUCUUGGAGAGGGCUUGCAGUCACUGUAGCCAAAGCGACUCAAGAUCUUUUCCCCAUAGUGAGACGGAAGCAAUGUAAUCCCACCAUCAUCAUCUCUCAACAACUUGAUGUUCAGAAUGACGUCAGCCACUCCUAAAUCCUUCUUCUCAAAACAGCGAGAUAGGAAAUCCUUGACCUCCUUAAGAACAUUUAGAUUUGUUCCGAAAAUCAGUAUGUCAUCAACAUACAAGCAAAGCAUAACUCCCUCGCCCCCACCAUGGCGAUAGUACACACAUUUGUUAGCUUCGUUCACAACAAAGCCUGCAGCUGUUAAAGUUCUUUCGAACUUCUCAUGCCACUGUUUGGGUGCUUGCUUGAGUCCAUACAAAGACUUCAGCAACUUGCACACUUUCCCUUCCUAACCAUCUAUUACAAACCCAUCUGGUUGUUCCAUAUAAAUUUCCUCAUCCAACUCUCCAUUUAGGAAAGCAGUCUUAACAUCCAUUUGAUGAACGAGAAGACCAUGUGAGGCAGCUAGUGAAAGUUUAACUCGAAUAGUGGUCAGUCGAGCCACAGGUGAGUAAGUAUCAAAGAAGUCUUCACCUUCCUUUUAGGUAUAACCCUUUGCCACGAGCUGAGCCUUGUACUUUUCAAUAGUACCAUCAGGCCUAAGUUUCUUCUUGAAUACCCAUUUGCAUCCUAUAGGUUUGCACCAUAAGGACGAUCAGUUAUCUCCCAAGUUUCAUCCGCCAAGAUGGAAUCCAUCUCGCUACGAACCGCUUCCUUCCAGUAGUCAGCAUCUUCCGAUGCAUAGGCCUCCAAAAUAGAACUGGGAGUGUCAUCUAUGAGAUACACAAGAAAAUCAUCACCCAAGGACUUUGCUGUCCUCUGUCUCUUACUCCUAGUAGGAACUUCAUUGUUCUCCUCCACAGGCCUUUCAAAGUGUUCCAUCGAAAUGGCAGGUUCAGUAAUUGUAACUGGUUCCUGAUUCGAUGAACUAGGCAUCUCCUGAUUAGAUGAGGUAGCCAUAUCCUUCAUGGGAAAGAUAUCUUCAAAGAAAGUCGCAUCAUUCGACUCCAUGAUCGUACUGACAUGCAUGUCAGAUACCUCAGAUUUUACAACCAAGAAUAUAUAGCCAAUGCUAUGAAAAGCAUAUCCCAGGAAAACACAAUCCACAGUCUUUGGUCCAAGCUUCCGCUUCUUUGGAAUUGGAACAUUGACUUUCGCCAAGCAACCCCAUGUUCGCAGAUAAGAGAGUCUUAACCUUUUCUUCUCCCAUUCCUCGAAUGGAGUUAUCUCUUUGUUCUUUGUGGGAACUCGAUUUAGGACAUGACAUGCUGUCAAUAUCGUCUCCCCCCACCAUGCCUUGGAGAGACCCGAUGUGCAUAACAUGGCGUUAACGAAAUCAGUUAGAGUACGGUUCUUUCUUUCGGCCACCCCAUUUGACUGAGGUGAGUAGGGAGGCGUCCUCUCAUGGAUUAUACCAUGUUCCGCACAAAAAGCAUCAAAUUCAUUGGAAAAAUACUCUCCACCACGGUCAGACCUAAGCCUCUUGAUUUUUCGAUCAAGUUGGUUUUCCACUUCAGCUUUAUAGAUCUUGAAAAAGUUCAAAGCCUCAUCCUUAGAUUUCAGAAGAUACACAUGGCAGUAUCUAGUGGAGUCGUCAAUUAACGUCAUGAAAUAUUUCUUUCCACCUUUUGUCAAAACACCAUUCAUUUCACAUAGAUCUGAAUGUAUAAGUUCUAGUGGUGCAAGAUUUCUCGUCUCCGCAGUCACGUGAGACUUACGAGGUUGCUUAGCUUGCACACACACUUGACACUUAGAUCCUUGACAGUGGUGAAACUAGGGAUUAAGUUCAACUUCGCUAGUCGCGACAUGCAACCAAAGUUAACAUGACAAAGACGUGAAUGCCACACAUUUGAUUCACUAUUGUUGCAAAUAUGAUUAACAACUUUAUUGCAAAUGUCUGAUAAGGAUAAACGAAACAGGCCUCCUGACUCAUAGCCUUUACCAACAAAGGUCCCAUACUUGGAUAUUACAAAUUUAUUCGACUCAAAGACAAGCUUAUAGCCAUCUCUACACAGAAGAGAUCCGCUAACAAGAUUUUUAUUGACGGAGGGGACAUAAUGCACGUUCUUCAGCCGCACGAUCUUCCCUGAAGUAAACUUCAGAUCAACCAUGCCAACACCACGAACAGAAGCACUUGAACUGUUGCCCAUCAGCACGGUUGAAGUCCCUGCGGUCUGAUAAGAUGAAAACAUGGAAAUAUCACCGUAUACAUGCACAUUAGCACCCAUGUCAAUCAACCAACCAGGAGAAUGACAUACUGAAAGAAUAGUGGGAAAUAUACCAUACCCAACAUCUUUCAUGUCAAUGUCUCCGAUGACAACAUUAGCGGUCUUGCCGCCUUUCCCAGGAUGACGCUUGUCAUAGCGAUUAGGACAACUAGGAGCCCAAUGAUCAGGAUCUCCAAACACAUGACAAGCACCUUUCUUAUUGUCAUUCUUCUUCUUGAAGUUCAUGUGCUGCACAGCCUUGUUCUUCCCAUCGAACUUUGCUUUACCAUCAAACUUGCCCUUGUUCUUGAACUUGUGGGACUGGAAGUUCUUCUUCUGUACCAGAUUGGCACUAGAUCCUCCCUCAAUACCUCGAGCACAUGUGUCCUUUGCUCUCGCCUUUUCUUCCACAUAAGAGUACCAAUGAGAUCCGGGAUGGAAAACUCCUGUCUCUUAUGCUUCAGUGAGGUAGCAAAGUUCCUCCAUGAAGGAGGAAGCUUAGUGAUGAUACCCCCGGCAACAAACUUGUCCGGUAAGAUACAAUUGAAGUGCUCAAGUUCUCUAGCAAAAGACUGUAUCUCAUGAGCCUGCUCAACCACGGAGCGCUCUUCAGUCAUCCUGUAAUCAUAGAAUUAUUCCAUGAUGUACAGCUCAGUGCCGGCAUCCGAGACCCCAAACUUGGCCUCGAGUGUGUCCCACAUAUCUUUUCAUUGUCAAUUGACGCAUAAGCAUCAACUAUGUUCUCACCAAGAACACUCAAAAGAGCAGCCUUAAACAAGGUAUCCAUUUUCUGGAAAGCUUGUGCCUGUUGGGCAUCUUGCUCUCCUUCGGGUUUGCCAAGAGUGGCAUCAUAGAAACUCAUGGUUUGAAACCAUAAGACUGCUCUCACACGCCACUUCUUAUAGUGGAUACCCUCAAACAUAGGAGGUCUCAUGGAAGCAGCAAAAUCACUCGGGGUAAAUUGCCUAUAAUAAGGUUUUUGGAUUGUUGGAAAUAUGAGCAAUUUACCGAAUGAUUUUAUUAACAAAAAUACUAGAUAAAGCAUGACUAAAAUAGCAAAUAUAAAGCAAGUCAUGCAGUCUGACAGAGAGAAGGUAAACAUCGUCUGCAUAUAUGAACUUGAGCUAAACACAGCUAGAACAGACACUAGAUGAAGUUGCUUAUACGAAACAGAACCUAACAUACGUAGGGCAGAAACUAGAGCCAAGAACUAUAGCAGGACUUCUAACAGAAAGGAGAAGAACACGUACGGCACAGCAGCAGCAGAAGCGCUGGACUUGGGGUUGGUGUCCUUGCCUGCCAUGUCAUCGAGGAGGUCAUGGACGUCAGGGAAGAAGUCGUCGUCGGGGAAGUAGUCGUUGGCGACCGGAUCGUCUGUGAUGAAGCAGCCAGUAGUCGCACUAAGUGCUCCCCAAAAACCUUAUCACCCUUCUCCCGUACAGGACUCAAAAGGUGCGGUCGCGAAAGCCUACUGUCCCGACGUGCGGUGCACGCCACAAGUCGGGAUGAGGAAGACAGCAGCAGCUCAGAGAUGGAACCGAUGGCGAGGGAAGGAGCAGUUCUGGUGCGUCUCUCUGAGAGGAGCGACCUCCCUUUUAUAGGCGCAAGAGAAGGAGGCGAGAGGCUGCGCCGGGAGCUGAAGGGAAUGCGGGAGACGAAACAAACAGGCAGCAGCCGAAGGGGCGCGCCGUUCGGAUUCAGUGUCCAGGCACAGAAAAAAAAUGUUUCAGCUUCCGAGUGACCUUUCGUAUACCCGUAGUGCGUGGCAAAAAUUUAGACAUCGGCUCGGCUCAUUCCCGCAACCCGCGGCGCGGCGCAUCGUGAUGAGGCGUGGUGAGGCGGGCGGCGGAGGAGGAGCACGCGUGGAUGUCCCUCUUGUUCUCAUGCUCAUACAAGUGGGGAAGGAGCCUCCCUUAUAAAGAGGUCCAACUCCCUCUAAACUAGCAAGGUGGGACUAAACUUUAGUUCCACCUCUUGCCUUGCACGAAUGGGCUGCGUGGGCCUCUAGGAUUUAUUAGGAAUUUCUAAAAUUGCUAUUGGGCUAGGCCCAAAUAGACAAAAAUUCCAGCAAUCCCCCACCAGAUCCCAGAGGCACACAAAAUUUGCCUUUGGUUCCAAAACACUGUUUUAUAUACUGGUACAGCAGUGGAGACUGUUAAGUUGAACUUCCACCUAGAACCCUAUGCUACACUAGUAAGCAACUUGAACAGUGGACUGGGCCUUGAACUGCAAGUUUUCUGCAAAUCUAGCUUCACAUAAGGCCUUGACCGAUACGUGGCUACCGUGGGUCUUCCCCGUGGGUGGAGCUUAUGCGUCAUACUCCGUGACCUUUCAUUAGUUUACUAGAGAGAACCCUACUCUCAUAGAUUGCGACGUUUAACAAUCAGACUCAUAUAGGUGCGUUCUUCAAAAGAUGUUCUGCAGGACAACAUCUCUGCUUCAAAAAGCCACUUAGAACACAUUAAGAUAUAAAUCAACCUGCCAUGCAGAUUAGGAGAGUAUUGCAUCUUCAUGGAGUGGUAUUUUAACAGUAUGGAUACUCUCCUCUCAGUUGACCAACAACUUGUCUUCCACAUCUAAUUCACGGGAUCUCCGAUCAUAAAGAAUAGGUUACCACUAUGAACAACUCAUAUUGUGGGUCUCAUUCCCAUCUCCCUCGAUGCAUUAUCUAUCACAUUACGUGAUAGACCGUUAGUAAAAGGAUCUGCCAGAUUUUUAGACGUUUGGAUAGAAUCCAAUGCAAUAACUCUGGAGUUUUUCAUUUUUCUGACAGACUUUAACCUUCUCUGAACGUGUCUUGAUGACUUCAUGUUAUCCUUUGAGUUGCUCACUUUAGUGAUCACAGUUUGAUUGUCACAGUUCAUCCGGAUACCCGGUAUAGGUUUCUCAACUACCGGUAAGUCAUUCAAGAGCCGACGAAGCCAAUCUGCUUCGACCGUACCUGUAUCUAGUGUUGUGAGUUCUGCUUCCAUUGUUGACCUCGUUAAGAUGGUCUGCUUGCAAGACUUCCAAGAAACAGCGCCACCUCCAUGAGUGAAUACAUAACCGCUCGUGGCCUUUAUCUCAUCAGCAUCUGAGAUCCAGUUUGAGUCACUAUACCCUUCAAGCACCUUUGGAUGCCAAGUGUAGUGAAUUCCAUAAUUUGCAGUGCCUUUUAAAUAACGCAAAACUCUCUCUAGAGCUUUCCAAUGCACAUCUCCUGGUUUUGAGACAAACCGGCUUAGUUAGCUAACAGCAAAAGAGAUGUCAGGUCUCGUAGCACUGGCUAAGUACAUAAGCGAGCCAAUAAUCUGUGAAUAUUUCAAUUGGUCUCUAGUGAUUCUUCGAUUCUUUCGAAGCAACACACUAGCAUCAUAUGGUGUUGGAGAGGGCUUGCAGUCACUGUAGCCAAAGCGGCUCAAGAUCUUUUCCACAUAGUGAGAUUGAAGCAAUGUAAUCCCACAAUCAUCAUCUCUCAAAAACUUGAUGUUCAGAAUGACAUCAGCCACUCCUAAAUCCUUCAUCUCAAAACAGCAAGAUAGGAAAUCCUUGACCUCCUUAAGAACAUUCAGAUCUGUUCCGAAAAUCAGUAUGUCAUCAACAUACAAGCAAAGCAUAACUCCCUUGCCCCCACCAUGGCGAUAGUACACACAUUUGUCAGCUUCGUUCACAACAAAGCCUGCAGCUAUUAAAGUUCUUUCGAACUUCUCAUGCCACUGUUUGGGUGCUUGCUUGAGUCCAUACAAAGACUUCAGCAACUUGCACACUUUCCCUUCCUGGCCAUCUAUUACAAACCCCUCUGGUUGUUCCAUAUAAAUUUCCUCAUCCAAAUCUCCAUUUAGGAAAGCAGUCUUAACAUCCAUUUGAUGAACGAGAAGACCAUGUGAGGCAGCUAGUGAAAGUAGACCUCGAAUAGUGGUCAGUCGAGCCACAGGUGAGUAAGUAUCAAAGAAGUCUUCACCUUCCUUUUGGUUAUAACCCUUUGCCACGAGCCGAGCCUUGUACUUUUCAUUAGUACCAUCAGGCCUAAGUUUCUUCUUGAAUACCCAUUUGCAUCCUAUAGGUUUGCACCCAUAAGGACGAUCAGUUAUCUCCCAAGUUUCAUUCGCCAAGAUGGAAUCCAUCUCGCUACGAAUCGCUUCCUUCCAGUAGUCAGCAUCUUCCGAUGCAUAGGCAUCCGAAAUAGAACUGGGAGUGUCAUCUAUGAGAUACACAAGAAAAUCAUCACCAAAGGACUUUGCUGUCCUCUGUCUCUUGCUCCUAGUAGGAACUUCAUUGUUCUCCUCCGCAGGACUUUCAAAGUGUUCCAUCGAAAUGGCAGGUUCAGUAAUUGUAACUGGUUCCUGAUUCGAUGAACUAGGCAUCUCCUAAUUAGAUGAGGUAGCCAUAUCCUUCAUGGGAAUGAUAUCUUCAAAGAAAGUCGCAUCAUUCGACUCCAUGAUCGUACCGACAUGCAUGUCAGAUACCUCAGAUUUUACAACCAAGAAUCUAUAGCCAAUGCUGUGAAAAGCAUAUCCCAGGAAAACACAAUCCACAGUCUUUGGUCCAAGCUUCCGCUUCUUUGGAAUUGGAACAUUGACUUUCGCCAAGCAACCGCAUGUUCGCAGAUAAGAGAGUUUUAACCUUUUCUUCUCCCAUUCCUCGAAUGGAGUUAUCUCUUUGUUCUUUGUGGGGACUCGAUUUAGGACAUGACAUGCUGUCAAUAUCGCCUCCCCCCACCAUGCCUUGGAGAGACCCGAUGUGGCGUUAACCAAAUCAGUUAGAGUACGGUUCUUUCUUUCGGCCACCCCAUUUGACUGAGGUGAGUAGGGAGGCGUCCCCUCAUGGAUUAUACCAUGUUCUGCACAAAAAGCAUCAAAUUCAUUGGAAAAAUACUCUCCACCACGGUCAGACCUAAGCCUCUUGAUUUUUCGAUCAAGUUGGUUUUCCACUUCAGCUUUAUAGAUCUUGAAAAAGUUCAAAGCCUCAUCCUUACAUUUCAGAAGAUACACAUGGCAGUAUCUAGUGGAGUCAUUAAUUAACGUCAUGCAAUAUUUCUUUCCACCUUUUGUCAAAACACCAUUCAUUUCACAUAGAUCUGAAUGUAUAAGUUCUAGUGGUGCAAGAUUUCUCGUCUCCGUAGUCACGUGAGACUUACGAGGUUGCUUAGCUUGCACACACACUUGACACUUAGAUCCUUGACAGUGGUGAAACUAGGGAUUAAGUUCAACUUCGCUAGUCGCGACAUGCAACCAAAGUUAACAUGACAAAGACGUGAAUGCCACACAUUUGAUUCACUAUUGUUGCAAAUAUGAUUAACAACUUUAUUGCAAACGUCUGAUAAGGAUAAACGAAACAGGCCUCCUGACUCAUAGCCUUUACCAACAAAGGUCCCAUACUUGGAUAUUACAAAUUUAUUCGACUCAAAGACAAGCUUAUAGCCAUCUCUACACAGAAGAGAUCCGCUAACAAGAUUUUUAUUGACGGAGGGGACAUAAUGCACGUUCUUCAGCCGCACGAUCUUCCCUGAAGUAAACUUCAGAUCAACCAUGCCAACACCACGAACAGAAGCACUUGAACUGUUGCCCAUCAGCACGGUUGAAGUCCCUGCGGUCUGAUAAGAUGAAAACAUGGAAAUAUCACCGCAUACAUGCACAUUAGCACCCAUGUCAAUCAACCAACCAGGAGAAUGACAUACUGAAAGAAUAGUGGGAAAUAUACCAUACCCAGCAUCUUUCAUGUCAAUGUCUCCGAUGACAACAUUAGCGGUCUUGCCGCCUUUCCCAGGAUGACGCUUGUCAUAGCGAUUAGGACAACUAGGAGCCCAAUGAUCAGGAUCUCCAAACACAUGACAAGCACCUUUCUUAUUGUCAUUCUUCUUCUUGAAGUUCAUGUGCUGCACAGCCUUGUUCUUCCCAUCGAACUUUGCUUUACCAUCAAACUUGCCCUUGUUCUUGAACUUGUGGGACUGGAAGUUCUUCUUCUGUACCAGAUUGGCACUAGAUCCUCCCUCAAUACCUCGAGCACGUGUGUCCUUUGCUCUCGCCUUUUCUUCCACAUAAGAGUACCAAUGAGAUCCGGGAUGGAAAACUCCUGUCUCUUAUGCUUCAGUAAGGUAGCAAAGUUCCUCCAUGAAGGAGGAAGCUUAGUGAUGAUACCCCCGGCAACAAACUUGUCCGGUAAGAUACAAUUGAAGUGCUCAAGUUCUCUAGCAAAAGACUGUAUCUCAUGAGCCUGCUCAACCACGGAGCGCUCUUCAGUCAUCCUGUAAUCAUAGAAUUAUUCCAUGAUGUACAGCUCAGUGCCGGCAUCCGAGACCCCAAACUUGGCCUCGAGUGUGUCCCACAUAUCUUUUCAUUGUCAAUUGAAGCAUAAGCAUCAACUAUGUUCUCACCAAGAACACUCAAAAGAGCAGCCUUAAACAAGGUAUCCAUUUUCUGGAAAGCUUGUGCCUGUUGGGCAUCUUGCUCUCCUUCAGGUUUGCCAAGAGUGGCAUCAUAGAAACUCAUGGUUUGAAACCAUAAGACUGCUCUCACACGCCACUUCUUAUAGUGGAUACCCUCAAACAUAGGAGGUCUCAUGGAAGCAGCAAAAUCACUCGGGGUAAAUUGCCUAUAAUAAGGUUUUUGGAUUGUUGGAAAUAUGAGCAAUUUACCGAAUGAUUUUAUUAACAAAAAUACUAGAUAAAGCAUGACUAAAAUAGCAAAUAUAAAGCAAGUCAUGUAGUCUGACAGAGAGAAGGUAAACAUCGUCUGCAUAUAUGAACUUGAGCUAAACACAGCUAGAACAGACACUAGAUGAAGUUGCUUAUACGAAACAGAACCUAACAUACGUAGGGCAGAAACUAGAGCCAAGAACUAUAGCAGGACUUCUAACAGAAAGGAGAAGAACACGUACGGCACAGCAGCAGCAGAAGCGCUGGACUUGGGGUUGGUGUCCUCGCCUGCCAUGUCAUCGAGGAGGUCAUGGACGUCAGGGAAGAAGUCGUCGUCGGGGAAGUAGUCGUCGGCGACCGGAUCGUCUGUGAUGAAGCAGCCAGUAGUCGCACUAAGCGCUCCCCAAAAACCUUAUCACCCUUCUCCCGUACAGGACUCAAAAGGGGCGGUCGCGAAAGCCUACUGUCCCGACGUGCGGUGCACGCCACAAGUCGGGAUGAGGAAGACAGCAGCAGCUCAGAGAUGGAACCGAUGGCGAGGGAAGGAGCAGUUCUGGUGCGUCUCUCUGAGAGGAGCGACCUCCCUUUUAUAGGCGCAAGAGAAGGAGGCGAGAGGCUGCGCCGGGAGCUGAAGGGAAUGCGGGAGACGAAACGAACAGGCAGCAGCCGAAGGGGCGCGCCGUUCGGAUUCAGUGUCCAGGCACAGAAAAAAAAUGUUUCAGCUUCCGAGUGACCUUUCGUAUACCCGUAGUGCGUGGCAAAAAUUUAGACAUCGGCUCGGCUCAUUCCCGCAACCCGCGGCGCGGCGCAUCGUGAUGAGGCGUGGUGAGGCGGGCGGCGGAGGAGGAGCACGCGUGGAUGUCCCUCUUGUUCUCAUGCUCAUACAAGUGGGGAAGGAGCCUCCCUUAUAAAGAGGUCCAACUCCCUCUAAACUAGCAAGGUGGGACUAAACUUUAGUUCCACCUCUUGCCUUGCACGAAUGGGCUGCGUGGGCCUCUAGGAUUUAUUAGGAAUUUCUAAAAUUGCUAUUGGGCUAGGCCCAAAUAGACAAAAAUUCCAGCAAUCCCCCACCAGAUCCCAGAGGCACACAAAAUUUGCCUUUGGUUCCAAAACACUGUUUUAUAUACUGGUACAGCAGUGGAGACUGUUAAGUUGAACUUCCACCUAGAACCCUAUGCUACACUAGUAAGCAACUUGAACAGUGGACUGGGCCUUGAACUGCAAGUUUUCUGCAAAUCUAGCUUCACAUAAGGCCUUGACCGAUACGUGGCUACCGUGGGUCUUCCCCGUGGGUGGAGCUUAUGCGUCAUACUCCGUGACCUUUCAUUAGUUUACUAGAGAGAACCCUACUCUCAUAGAUUGCGACGUUUAACAAUCAGACUCAUAUAGGUGCGUUCUUCAAAAGAUGUUCUGCAGGACAACAUCUCUGCUUCAAAAAGCCACUUAGAACACAUUAAGAUAUAAAUCAACCUGCCAUGCAGAUUAGGAGAGUAUUGCAUCUUCAUGGAGUGGUAUUUUAACAGUAUGGAUACUCUCCUCUCAGUUGACCAACAACUUGUCUUCCACAUCUAAUUCACGGGAUCUCCGAUCAUAAAGAAUAGGUUACCACUAUGAACAACUCAUAUUGUGGGUCUCAUUCCCAUCUCCCUCGAUGCAUUAUCUAUCACAUUACGUGAUAGACCCUUAGUAAAAGGAUCUGCCAGAUUUUUAGACGUUUGGAUAUAAUCCAAUGCAAUAACUCUGGAGUUUUUCAUUUUUCUGACAGACUUUAACCUUCUCUGAACGUGUCUUGAUGACUUCAUGUUAUCCUUUGAGUUGCUCACUUUAGUGAUCACAGUUUGAUUGUCACAGUUCAUCCGGAUACCCGGUACAGGUUUCUCAACUACCGGUAAGUCAUUCAAGAGCCGACGAAGCCAAUCUGCUUCGACCGUACCUGUAUCUAGUGUUGUGAGUUCUGCUUCCAUUGUUGACCUCAUUAAGAUGGUCUGCUUGCAAGACUUCCAAGAAACAGCGCCACCUCCAUGAGUGAAUACAUAACCGCUCGUGGCCUUUAUCUCAUCAGCAUCUGAGAUCCAGUUUGAGUCACUAUACCCUUCAAGCACCUUUGGAUGCCAAGUGUAGUGAAUUCCAUAAUUUGCAGUGCCUUUUAAAUAACGCAAAACUCUCUCUAGAGCUUUCCAAUGCACAUCUCCUGGUUUUGAGACAAACCGGCUUAGUUAGCUAAUAGCAAAAGAGAUGUCAGGUCUCGUAGCACUGGCUAAGUACAUAAGCGAGCCAAUAAUCUGUGAAUAUUUCAAUUGGUCUCUAGUGAUUCUUCGAUUCUUUCGAAGCAACACACUAGCAUCAUAUGGUCUUGGAGAGGGCUUGCAGUCACUGUAGCCAAAGCGGCUCAAGAUCUUUUCCACAUAGUGAGAUUGAAGCAAUGUAAUCCCACCAUCAUCAUCUCUCAACAACUUGAUGUUCAGAAUGACAUCAGCCACUCCUAAAUCCUUCAUCUCAAAACAGCAAGAUAGGAAAUCCUUGACCUCCUUAAGAACAUUCAGAUUUGUUCCGAAAAUCAGUAUGUCAUCAACAUACAAGCAAAGCAUAACUCCCUUGCCCCCACCAUGGCGAUAGUACACACAUUUGUCAGCUUCGUUCACAACAAAGCCUGCAGCUAUUAAAGUUCUUUCGAACUUCUCAUGCCACUGUUUGGGUGCUUGCUUGAGUCCAUACAAAGACUUCAGCAACUUGCACACUUUCCCUUCCUGGCCAUCUAUUACAAACCCCUCUGGUUGUUCCAUAUAAAUUUCCUCAUCCAAAUCUCCAUUUAGGAAAGCAGUCUUAACAUCCAUUUGAUGAACGAGAAGACCAUGUGAGGCAGCUAGUGAAAGUAGACCUCGAAUAGUGGUCAGUCGAGCCACAGGUGAGUAAGUAUCAAAGAAAUCUUCACCUUCCUUUUGGUUAUAACCCUUUGCCACGAGCCGAGCCUUGUACUUUUCAUUAGUACCAUCAGGCCUAAGUUUCUUCUUGAAUACCCAUUUGCAUCCUAUAGGUUUGCACCCAUAAGGACGAUCAGUUAUCUCCCAAGUUUCAUUCGCCAAGAUGGAAUCCAUCUCGCUACGAAUCGCUUCCUUCCAGUAGUCAGCAUCUUCCGAUGCAUAGGCAUCCGAAAUAGAACUGGGAGUGUCAUCUAUGAGAUACACAAGAAAAUCAUCACCAAAGGACUUUGCUGUCCUCUGUCUCUUGCUCCUAGUAGGAACUUCAUUGUUCUCCUCCGCAGGACUUUCAAAGUGUUCCAUCGAAAUGGCAGGUUCAGUAAUUGUAACUGGUUCCUGAUUCGAUGAACUAGGCAUCUCCUAAUUAGAUGAGGUAGCCAUAUCCUUCAUGGGAAUGAUAUCUUCAAAGAAAGUCGCAUCAUUCGACUCCAUGAUCGUACCGACAUGCAUGUCAGAUACCUCAGAUUUUACAACCAAGAAUCUAUAGCCAAUGCUGUGAAAAGCAUAUCCCAGGAAAACACAAUCCACAGUCUUUGGUCCAAGCUUCCGCUUCUUUGGAAUUGGAACAUUGACUUUCGCCAAGCAACCCCAUGUUCGCAGAUAAGAGAGUUUUAACCUUUUCUUCUCCCAUUCCUCGAAUGGAGUUAUCUCUUUGUUCUUUGUGGGGACUCGAUUUAGGACAUGACAUGCUGUCAAUAUCGCCUCCCCCCACCAUGCCUUGGAGAGACCCGAUGUGGCGUUAACCAAAUCAGUUAGAGUACGGUUCUUUCUUUCGGCCACCCCAUUUGACUGAGGUGAGUAGGGAGGCGUCCUCUCAUGGAUUAUACCAUGUUCUGCACAAAAAGCAUCAAAUUCAUUGGAAAAAUACUCUCCACCACAGUCAGACCUAAGCCUCUUGAUUUUUCGAUCAAGUUGGUUUUCCACUUCAGCUUUAUAGAUCUUGAAAAAGUUCAAAGCCUCAUCCUUACAUUUCAGAAGAUACACAUGGCAGUAUCUAGUGGAGUCAUUAAUUAACGUCAUGCAAUAUUUCUUUCCACCUUUUGUCAAAACACCAUUCAUUUCACAUAGAUCUGAAUGUAUAAGUUCUAGUGGUGCAAGAUUUCUCGUCUCCGCAGUCACGUGAGACUUACGAGGUUGCUUAGCUUGCACACACACUUGACACUUAGAUCCUUGACAGUGGUGAAACCAGGGAUUAAGUUCAACUUCGCUAGUCGCGACAUGCAACCAAAGUUAACAUGACAAAGACGUGAAUGCCACACAUUUGAUUCACUAUUGUUGCAAAUAUGAUUAACAACUUUAUUGCAAACGUCUGAUAAGGAUAAACGAAACAGGCCUCCUGACUCAUAGCCUUUACCAACAAAGGUCCCAUACUUGGAUAUUACAAAUUUAUUCGACUCAAAGACAAGCUUAUAGCCAUCUCUACACAGAAGAGAUCCGCUAACAAGAUUUUUAUUGACGGAGGGGACAUAAUGCAUGUUCUUCAGCCGCACGAUCUUCCCUGAAGUAAACUUCAGAUCAACCAUGCCAACACCACGAACAGAAGCACUUGAACUGUUGCCCAUCAGCACGGUUGAAGUCCCUGCGGUCUGAUAAGAUGAAAACAUGGAAAUAUCACCGCAUACAUGCACAUUAGCACCCAUGUCAAUCAACCAACCAGGAGAAUGACAUACUGAAAGAAUAGUGGGAAAUAUACCAUACCCAGCAUCUUUCAUGUCAAUGUGUCCGAUGACAACAUUAGCGGUCUUGCCGCCUUUCCCAGGAUGACGCUUGUCAUAGCGAUUAGGACAACUAGGAGCCCAAUGAUCAGGAUCUCCAAACACAUGACAAGCACCUUUCUUCUUGUCAUUCUUCUUCUUGAAGUUCAUGUGCUGCACAGCCUUGUUCUUCCCAUCGAACUUUGCUUUACCAUCAAACUUGCCCUUGUUCUUGAACUUGUGGGACUGAAAGUUCUUCUUCUGUACCAGAUUGGCACUAGAUCCUCCCUCAAUACCUCGGGCACGUGUGUCCUUUGCUCUCGCCUUUUCUUCCACAUAAGAGUACCAAUGAGAUCCGGGACGGAAAACUCCUGUCUCUUAUGCUUCAGUAAGGUAGCAAAGUUCCUCCAUGAAGGAGGAAGCUUAGUGAUGAUACCCCCGGCAACAAACUUGUCCGGUAAGAUACAAUUGAAGUUCUCAAGUUCUCUAGCAAAAGACUGUAUCUCAUGAGCCUGCUCAACCAUGGAGCGCUCUUCAGUCAUCCUGUAAUCAUAGAAUUAUUCCAUGAUGUACAGCUCAGUGCCGGCAUCCGAGACCCCAAACUUGGCCUCGAGUGUGUCCCACAUAUCUUUUCAUUGUCAAUUGACGCAUAAGCAUCAACUAUGUUCUCACCAAGAACACUCAAAAGAGCAGCCUUAAACAAGGUAUCCAUUUUCUGGAAAUCUUGUGCCUGUUGGGCAUCUUGCUCUCCUUCAGGUUUGCCAAGAGUGGCGUCAUAGAAACUCAUGGUUUGAAACCAUAAGACUGCUCUCACACGCCACCUCUUAUAGUGAAUACCCUCAAACAUAGGAGGUCUCAUGGAAGCAGCAAAAUCACUCAGGGUAAAUUGCCUAUAAUAAGGUUUUUGGAUUGUUGGAAAUAUGAGCAAUUUACCGAAUGAUUUUAUUAACAAAAAUACUAGAUAAAGCAUGACUAAAAUAGCAAAUAUAAAGCAAGUCAUGCAGUCUGAGAGAUAGAAGGUAAACAUCGUCUGCAUAUAUGAACUUGAGCUAAACACAUCUAGAACAGACACUAGAUGAAGUUGCUUAUACGAAACAGAACCUAACAUACGUAGGGCAAAAUCUAGAGCCAAGAACUGUAGCAGGACUUCUAACAGAAAGGAGAAGAACACGUACGGCACAGCAGCAGCAGAAGCGCUGGACUUGGGUUGCUGUCCUCGCCUGCCAUGUCAUCGAGGAGGUCAUGGACGUCAGGGAAGAAGUCGUCGUCGGCGGGGAAGUAGUCGUCGGCGACCGGAUCGUCUGUGAUGAAGCAGCCAGUAGUCGCACUGAGCACUCCCCAAAAACCUUAUCACCCUUCUCUCGUACAAGACUCAAAAGGUGCGGUCGCGAAAGCCUACUGUCCCGACGUGCGGUGCACGCCGCAAGUCGGGAUGAGGAAGACAGCAGCAGCUCAGAGAUGGAACCGAUGGCGAGGGAAGGAGCAGUUCUGGUGCGUCUCUCUGAGAGGAGCGACCUCCCUUUUAUAGGCGCAAGAGAAGGAGGCGAGAGGCUGCGCCGAGAGCUGAAGGGAAUGCGGGAGACGAAACGAACAGGCAGCAGCCGAAGGGGCGCACCAUUCGGAUUCAGUGUCCAGGCACAGAAAAAAAAUGUUUCAGCUUUCGAGUGACCUUUCGUAUACCCGUAGUGCGUGGCAAAAAUUUAGACAUCGGCUCGGCUCAUUCCCGCAACCCGCGGCGCGGCGCAUCGUGACGAGGCGUGGUGAGGCAGGCGGCGGAGGAGGAGCGCACGUGGAUGUCCCUCUUGUUCUCAUGCUCAUACAAGUGGGGAAGGAGCCUCCCUUAUAAAGAGGUCCAACUCCCUCUAAACUAGCAAGGUGGGACUAAACUUUAGUUCCACCUCUUGCCUUGCACGAAUGGGCUGCAUGGGCCUCUAGGAUUUAUUAGGAAUUUCUAAAAUUGCUAUUGGGCUAGGCCCAAAUAGACAAAAAUUCCAGCAAUCCCCCACCAGAUCCCAGAGGCACAAAAAAUUUGCCUUUGGUUCCAAAACACUGUUUUAUAUACUGGUACAGCAGUGGAGACUGUUAAGUUGAACUUCCACCUAGAACCCUAUGCUACACUAGUAAGCAACUUGAACAGUGGACUGGGCCUUGAACUGCAAGUUUUCUGCAAAUCUAGCUUCACAUAAAGCCUUGACCGAUACGUGGCUACCGUGGGUCUUCCCCGCGGGUGGAGCUUAUGCGUCAUACUCCAUGACCUUUCAUUAGUUUACUAGAGAGAACCCUACUCUCAUAGAUUGCGACGUUUAACAAUCAGACUCAUAUAGGUGCGUUCUUCAAAAGAUGUUCUGCAGGACAACAUCUCUGCUUCAAAAAGCCACUUAGAACACAUUAAGAUAUAAAUCAACCUGCCAUGCAGAUUAGGAGAGUAUUGCAUCUUCAUGGAGUGGUAUUUUAACAGUAUGGAUACUCUCCUCUCAGUUGACUAACAGCUUGUCUUCCACAUCUAAUUCACGGGAUCUCCGAUCAUAAAGAAUAGAUUACCACUGUGAACAACUCAUAUUGUGGGUCUCAUUCCCAUCUCCCUCGAUGCAUUAUCUAUCACAUUACGUGAUAGACCCUUAGUAAAAGGAUCUGCCAGAUUUUUAGACGUUUGGAUAUGAUCCAAUGCAAUAACUCUGGAGUUUUUCAUUUUUCUGACAGACUAACCUUCUCUGAACGUGUCUUGAUGACUUCAUGUUAUCCUUUGAGUUGCUCACUUUAGUGAUCACAGUUUGAUUGUCACAGUUCAUCCGGAUACCCGAUACAGGUUUCUCAACUACCGGUAAGUCAUUCAAGAGCAGACGAAGCCAAUCCGCUUCAACCGUACAUGUAUCUAGUGUUGUGAGUUCUACUUCCAUUGUUGACCUCGUUAGAUGGUCUGCUUGCAAGACUUCCAAGAAACAGCGCCACCUCCAUGAGUGAAUACAUAACCGCUCGUGGCCUUUAUCUCAUCAACAUCUGAGAUCCAGUUUGAGUUACUAUACCCUUCAAGCACCUUUGGAUGCCCAGUGUAGUGAAUUCCAUAAUUUGCAGUGCCUUUCAAAUAACGCAAAACUCUCUCUAGAGCUUUCCAAUGCACAUCUCCUGGUUUUGAGACAAACCGGCUUAGUUAGCUAACAGCAAAAGAGAUGUCAGGUCUCAUAGCACUGGCUAAGUACAUAAGCGAGCCAAUAAUCUGUGAAUAUUUCAAUUGGUCUCUAGCGAUUCUUCGAUUCUUUCGAAGCAACACACUAGCAUCAUAUGGUGUUGGAGAGGGCUUGCAGUCACUAUAGCCAAAGCGGCUCAAGAUCUUUUCCACAUAGUGAGAUUGAAGCAAUGUAAUCCCACCAUCAUCAUCUCUCAACAACUUGAUGUUCAGAAUGAGAUCAGCCACUCCUAAAUCCUUCAUCUCAAAACAGCAAGAUAGGAAAUCCUUGACCUCCUUAAGAACAUUCAGAUUUGUUCCGAAAAUCAGUAUGUCAUCAACAUACAAGCAAAGCAUAACUCCCUCGCCCCCACCAUGGCGAUAGUACACACAUUUGUCAGCUUCGUUCACAACAAAGCCUGCAGCUAUUAAAGUUCUUUCGAACUUCUCAUGCCACUGUUUGGGUGCUUGCUUGAGUCCAUACAAAGACUUCAGCAACUUGCACACUUUCCCUUCCUGGCCAUCUAUUACAAACCCCUCUGGUUGUUCCAUAUAAAUUUCCUCAUCCAAAUCUCCAUUUAGGAAAGCAGUCUUAACAUCCAUUUGAUGAACGAGAAGACCAUGUGAGGUAGCUAGUGAAAGUAGACCUCGAAUAGUGGUCAGUCGAGCCACAGGUGAGUAAGUAUCAAAGAAGUCUUCACCUUCCUUUUGGGUAUAACCCUUUUCCAUGAGCCAAGCCUUGUACUUUUCAUUAGUACCAUCAGGCCUAAGUUUCUUCUUGAAUACCCAUUUGCAUCCUAUAGGUUUGCACCCAUAAGGACGAUCAGUUAUCUCCCAAGUUUCAUUCGCCAAGAUGGAGUCCAUCUCGCUACGAAUCGCUUCCUUCCAGUAGUCAGCAUCUUCCGAUGCAUAGGCAUCCGAAAUAGAACUGGGAGUGUCAUCUAUGAGAUACACAAGAAAAUCAUCAGCAAAGGACUUUGCUGUCCUCUGUCUCUUGCUCCUAGUAGGAACUUCAUUGUUCUCCUCCGCAGGACUUUCAAAGUGUUCCAUCGAAAUGGCAGGUUCAGUAAUUGUAACUGGUUCCUGAUUCGAUGAACUAGGCAUCUCCUAAUUAGAUGAGGUAGCCAUAUCCUUCAUGGGAAUGAUAUCUUCAAAGAAAGUCGCAUCAUUCGACUCCAUGAUCGUACCGACAUGCAUGUCAGAUACCUCAGAUUUUACAACCAAGAAUCUAUAGCCAAUGCUGUGAAAAGCAUAUCCCAGGAAAACACAAUCAACAGUCUUUGGUCCAAGCUUCCGCUUCUUUGGAAUUGGAACAUUGACUUUCGCCAAGCAACCCCAUGUUCGCAGAUAAGAGAGUUUUAACCUUUUCUUCUCCCAUUCCUCGAAUGGAGUUAUCUCUUUGUUCUUUGUGGGGACUCGAUUUAGGACAUGACAUGCUGUCAAUAUCGCCUCCCCCCACCAUGCCUUGGAGAGACCCGAUGUGGCGUUAACCAAAUCAGUUAGAGUACGGUUCUUUCUUUCGGCCACCCCAUUUGACUGAGGUGAGUAGGGAUGCGUCCUCUCAUGGAUUAUACCUUGUUCUGCACAAAAAGCAUCAAAUUCAUUGGAAAAAUACUCUCCACCACGGUCAGACCUAAGCCUCUUGAUUUUUCGAUCAAGUUGGUUUUCCACUUCAGCUUUAUAGAUCUUGAAAAAGUUCAAAUCCUCAUCCUUACAUUUCAGAAGAUACACAUGGCAGUAUCUAGUGGAGUCGUUAAUUAACGUCAUGAAAUAUUUCUUUCCACGUUUUGUCAAAACACCAUUCAUUUCACAUAGAUCUGAAUGUAUAAGUUCUAGUGGUGCAAGAUUUCUCGUCUCCGCAGUCAUGUGAGACUUACGAGGUUGCUUAGCUUGCACACACACUUGACACUUAGAUCCCUUGACAGUGGUGAAACUAGGGAUUAAGUUCAACUUCGCUAGCCGCGACAUGCAACCAAAGUUAACAUGACAAAGACGUGAAUGCCACACAUUUGAUUCACUAUUGUUGCAAAUAUGAUUAACAACUUUAUUGCAAAUGUCUGAUAAGGAUAAACGAAACAGGCUUCCUGACUCAUAGCCUUUGCCAACAAAAGUUCCAUACUGGGAUAUUACAAAUUUAUUCGACUCAAAUACAAGCUUAUAGCCAUCUCUACACAGAAGAGAUCCGCUAACAAGAUUGUUAUUGACGGAGGGGACAUAAUGCACGUUCUUCAGCCGCACGAUCUUCCCCGAAGUAAACUUCAGAUCGACCAUGCCAACACCACGAACAGAAGCACUUGAACCGUUGCCCAUCAGCACGGUUGAAGUCCCUGCGGUCUGAUCAGAUGAAAACAUGGAAAUAUCACUGCAUACAUGCACAUUAGCACCCAUGUCAAUCAACCAAUCAGGAGAAUGACAUACUGAAAGAAUAGUGGGAAAUAUACCAUACCCAGCAUCUUUCAUGUCAAUGUCUCCGAUGACAACAUUAGCGGUCUUGCCGCCUUUCCCAGGAUGACGCUUGUCAUAGAGAUUAGGACAAAUAGGAGCCCAAUGAUCAGGCUCUCCACACACAUGACAAGCACCUUUCUUCUUGUCAUUCUUCUUCUUGAAGUUCGUGUGCUGCACAGCCUUGUUCUUCCCAUCGAACUUUGCUUUACCAUCAAACUUGCCCUUGUUCUAGAACUUGUGGGACUGGAAGUUCUUCUUCUGUACUAGAUUGGCACUAGAUCCUCCCUCAAUACCUCGAGCACGUGUGUCCUUUGCUCUCGCCUUUUCUUCCACAUCAAGAGUACCAAUGAGUUCCGGGACGGAAAACUCCUGUCUCUUAUGCUUCAGUAAGGUAGCAAAGUUCCUCCACGAAGGAGGAAGCUUAGUGAUGAUACCCCCGGCAACAAACUUGUCCGGUAAGAUACAAUUGAAGUGCUCAAGUUCUCUAGCAAAGGACUGUAUCUCAUGAUCCUGCUCAACCACGGAGCGCUCUUCAGUCAUCAUGUAAUCAUAGAAUUGCUCCAUGAUGUACAAUUCAGUGCCGGCAUCCGAGACCCCAAACUUGGCCUCAAGUGCGUCCCACAUAUCUUUUCUAUUGUCAAUUGACGCAUAAGCAUCAACUAUGUUCUCACCAAGAACACUCAAAAGAGCAGCCUUAAACAAGGUAUCCAUUUUCAGAAAAGCUUGUGCCUGUUGGGCAUCUUGCUCUCCUUCAGGUUUGCCAAGAGUGGCGUCAUAGCAACUCAUGGUUUGAAACCAUAAGACUGCUCUCACGCGCCACCUCUUAUAGUGGAUACCCUCAAACAUACGAGCUCUCAUGGAAGCAGCAAAACCACUCGGGGUAAAUUGCCUAUAAUAAGGUUUUUGGAUUGUUGGAAAUAUGAGCAAUUUACCGAAUGAUUUUAUUAACAAAAAUACUAGAUAAAGCAUGACUAAAAUAGCAAAUAUAAAACAAGUCAUGCAGUCUGACAGAGAGAAGGUAAACAUCGUCUGCAUAUAUGAACUUGAGCUAAACACAUCUAGAACAUACACUAGAUGAAGUUGCUUAUACGAAACAGAACCUAACAUACGUAGGGCAGAAACUAGAGCCAAGAACUGUAGCAGGACUUCUAACAGAAAGGAGAAGAACACGUACGGCAUAGCAGCAGCAGAAGCGCUGGACUUCGGGUCGGUGUCCUCGCCUGCCAUGUCGUCGAGGAGGUCGUGGACGUCGGGGAAGAAGUCGUCGUCGGGGAAGUAGUCGUCGGCGACCGGAUCGUCCGUGAUGAAGCAGCCAGUAGUCGCGCUGAGCGCUCCCCAAAAACCUUAUCACCCUUCUCCCGUACAGGACUCAAAAGGUGCGGUCUCGGAGGCCUACUAUCCCGACGUGCGGUGCACGCCGCAAGUCGGGAUGAGGAAGACAGCAGCAGCUCAGAGAUGGAACCGAUGGCGAGGGAAGGAGCAGUUCUGGUGCGUCUCUCUGAGAGGAGCGACCUCCCUUUUAUAGGCGCAAGAGAAGGAGGCGAGAGGCUGCGCCGGGAGCUGAAGGGAAUGCGGGAGACGAAACGAACAUGCAGCAGCCGAAGGGGCGCGCCUUCGGAUUCAGUGUCCAGGCACAGAAAAAAAUGUUUCAGCUUCCGAGUGACCUUUCGUAUACCCGUAGUGCGUGGCAAAAAUUUAGACAUCGGCUCGGCUCAUUCCCGCAACCCGCGGCGCGGCAUGACGAGGCGUGGUGAGGCGGGCGGCGGAGGAGGAGCGCGCGUGGAUGUCCCUCUUGUUCUCAUGCUCAUACAAGUGGAGAAGGAGCCUCCCUUAUAAAGAGGUCCAACUCCCUCUAAACUAGCAAGGUGGGACUAAACUUUAGUUCCACCUCUUGCCUUGCACGAAUGGGCUGCGUGGUCCUCUAGGAUUUAUUAGGAAUUUCUGAAACUGCUAUUGUGCUAGGCCCAAAUAGACAAAAAUUCCAGCAGUUUGUGUUCUUCAGGUCUCCACUUGCCAUGAUAUUGCGGCUGGGCUUCGGGUAUGUGUUACCACUGAUACAUCAUUCCAAACUACUAAUGAAUUGGUCUCUGAUGUCUUCUUCUCAAUUUUAACUAGGGCCUGCUUCUGUUUGCACCAAUUCGAGAUAGUGGUUGUGGAAUGCAGCAGCCAAGACAACAAGGUCAGGCUCGGCUUAGGUAUGAUGACAAACAAAAUUAGAUUCGGAUGGUUCCUUACAUCUUCCUCUCAGAAUCAAGAGUGAUAAUACUUUUUUGGUGCUCCGGCUUCUGCAGUUUCUGAAGAACUGAUUCGUUGUUCAGGCAUUUCAUGCAUUUGGAGUUCACAGGUAUCUAAGUUUCUCUGACUGUGUUUUCAAAUAAUUGAUACUUGACAUUAGGAUUUUUGGCUGAACAAAUCAUCUUAGACAUAAGUAGAACCCGGCAAAUUGUGAGACAGAGCUAAUUGAUACACAGUUUAGAAAAUAGAACUGAACAAUUCUUGGUAGUCACUAUUGAUUAGCUAUGUGCGUACCUUAAGUUCCUUACUACUUAUUUUAAUUGUUAGUACUUGAAGGUUUGAAUAAUUAUUAUUACCAAGUUACAUGUUGAUCACUACUUAUUAUGAAAAUGUAUGUCCAUGGUUUAAAGGAGCUUUAUUGUUUCAGUCUAUACUAAGUUAUUUGUCGGUUAUACUGGAGCUUAUAUUGUUCCCUCUUUGAUCUAGACAUCAAAUAUUCUAAGCUUCAUUUUUGUGAGCAAACGGUUCUAUGCUUCCUUUUUGUGAACAUUGCUCCAUAAAUAGUAGUGGCAUUUACUAUGCAGAUGAUACUGACAAAUUAUCAUACAAGUCCGCAUUAAUAUUCAGUCAGUAGGUUAUUGAAGAAGGCCGGAGAUCGCGUGGAGCACCAACAAUAACCUCAAGUAGAUGCAGCAGAGACAUGUGAUGAACUAUCAUAUGUUUCCUAAUCUGAAUGUUUGCUCCAAUCGCUUGAUUGUUUGAUCUGGUUUGUUGUGACAAUACAAUGAUUUUCUAUGUUCUUUUUGUGGUGCAAUCUCCGUUGAUUUGGAAAGAUGGGGACUUUCUGUUGAGCUAUUUCGAUCGGCCAUUGGCCAUAACAUUCCAAAUUCCUUAUUUUGUUUCCUCUUUUUCGCGGCUUCAUUUUACGUGUCUCACUAAAGGUGGGCAUGACUUGAAAAGGGAGGCAAACAAAACUGCCAAGAUGCAUCUCUUUUGCAGCAGAAGAAGAGGCACUGAUGAGAGGUGGAAAAGGAGGGGCAAAGAAGGAAGCCAUGGGCAUGUGCCGCCUACCGACCAUGAAUAUCAACAAUGACAAUGACGACUAGCUUGUGUGCGUGUGAGAGAGGGAGGGAGAGGGAGUCAAAACAAAAUGAUGUAUAUCUUUACUACAUUAUAAAAUGGGAUUUGGUGAGCUAUUUGUCCUUUAUGAUUCAUGAGAUUUUAAUUCUAUAGUGUUUUUUGCUCUUAAUAUAUUAUUGUGGUUAUAGAUUUAUCAUUGACACAAUAUAUGUAGAAACUUUUUUGAUCUAAAUAAGAAGAACAAAAGUUUACGGGAUGCUUUUUGAUCGUUCCCUUUACCUAGCUUCCAAUUUCUAUUGUCAGAAACACAUUUUUUUUGUUCCUAUAGGAAACAUAUGCAAAUAAAAGAUUUGCCGAAGCUUUUUGAGUCCCUGAUGCAUACUAAAUACAGUCCUAGAACAAUAUGCUUAUGCAUAAUAACAAGCUGGAAAAUUGCUCCAAAAUAACACUUAAAACAUAUAAAAGAACAAAAAAAUCCAUUCUGAAUUCUAAAAUGAUCUUUCAAUGUAUGCAGCAAACUGCUUCCUUUAUAAUCUGACAAAACUCGCAGGACUUAUCAUGACGCAUGAAAGGAUAUAGUAAACCAUCACACCGAAGCCGAGGUUGGCUUUGUUUCCUUAUUUUUGCGAGAAGGUGUCAUAGUUCUACUAUUUUGAUUAGCCAUCUAGAGGGAUGACAGUGCAUGCAAUCAUUUAAAUAAAAUAAUACAAAGAUGCUGCAUGAGUCAUCAAUUCAAACAAGAACUUGUUUCAUGUGAUUUUUUGUGUAAAGUGGAAACAAAUUAUUUUUAUAACAACUAAUUCGACAACACAAGUGCUACACCGUGAUCAGUAUAUGCAUAUGAUACGAUCUAGCUAUUUUCCUUUGCACGGGUGGUUUUUAUCAUGAGGUAGGAGGGUUCGUACAAGUCGACUAUCAGCUCUCAUGCAAUGCUUUAAAAAGAAAAACGAGAGGAAUUUGUGAAUUUUUGUAUAACAUUGCAAAUUAUAUGAAAAAACUUUUUAAUUUGUCAGAACUUUUAGGAGGGAGUGAGUGGCAAAUGUUGGAAGACAUUCAAAGUUAGGAUGAUGGGAAUGCCUAUGGCAAUUUGGAGAACUUGGAGAAAACAUAUGCGAACUUGAGCUAGGUAGCAAUGUAGAGCUUAAUUAAGCUAAAUGGUUCAUAUUCAUUUGUUAGUCCAUGAGUUCGAGAUGAUGGACUCAACAAUUGGAUAGAUUUGGAGGGAACACGAAUUUGGAGUAGUGUGACAACAUAGCGAAGUAAUGACACAAUGGUCGAAGGGCUGAAGUUGAGGGGCUUGUGAUAGAUCCAUUUGUUGGCCCGUGGCUGCGCACGGGCGUUCUACUAGUAAUCAUUGGUGGCUUCUUUGACCACCAGACGGCUUAUUGACUUCUUCCACUCGAGGAUCACCGUGGAGCAAUCCUUCUUCCCCUUCCUACAGAAGCACGCCAACCACAAACAAAUGCUCAAAAAGACCUUAGCAAAUGCCAUUGAACUAGAUUGUAGGCAAGAGGAAUCUUAUUAGUUGGUAGAUGUAGAUGUCGAGGCCUCAUCAUUGCUUGCCAGAGGCCUCAUGUGUAUGUCGUGCGUCCCACCAGAGGCCUCUUUUAAUUAGAGGAAGGGCGGUGCGGAGAAGACAUCAUUAGUCACCCUGGGAGAAGAAAGUUCGGUGGCGGUGCGUGUAAAGAGGAGACUUUGGUAGUUUCUGGUGGAGUUGUGGUAGCCGUAGGGACGACGAGAGUGAGAGAGGACUGGGGACGGAGGAGAGGUGAUGGAUGGAAAAAAAUUGGGUGAUUGAGGACGAAAACCAAGAUGAAAANNNNNNNNNNNNNNNNNNNNNNNNNNNNNNNNNNNNNNNNNNNNNNNNNNNNNNNNNNNNNNNNNNNNNNNNNNNNNNNNNNNNNNNNNNNNNNNNNNNNNNNNNNNNNNNNNNNNNNNNNNNNNNNNNNNNNNNNNNNNNNNNNNNNNNNNNNNNNNNNNNNNNNNNNNNNNNNNNNNNNNNNNNNNNNNNNNNNNNNNNNNNNNNNNNNNNNNNNNACUAGAUGUCUCUGUAGUGAAGUAAUAUGAGCAUAACUUAAUUGAUCAGUGUAAAACUUUGAAUUGGUUAAGUAUACUACACUAAAGUAAGUUGUAAAGCCUAAUUGCAAUUAUAUCUUUGAGGGCAAUGCUUAUGAGUUGCGUGACAAUCUUGUCUGUUCUGGAUCUUGCAUCUGAUUCUAAUUAAACAGUACAUGUUAGAUGUUUUUAAUGAGGUCCACGUUAGAUUUGAUUGUUAAUUUAUAGUGCGGGUGAAAGCGGAUUCUAUCCUUUUCGUCUGCCAUUUUUCCUUUCAUAAAAUGUGUCCAUGGAGUAAUUCUCCACAAAAACAAACUUAACUGGACAAAAUAUCCACGGCAAGUCGCAUAUCUUGUGCAACUGUUCACUGUUGAAAGCUUAUUGUGCCACUACCCAUCAUUGCAAGGAAAAAAUACAGAAGAUUUAUGUUCUACCAAAUACAUUCUUUUGUUCAGAUUUAGCCAGGUAUGAUCCUGGUUGCGUCAGCCAUUAGAGUACAUUGCGAUCGACUAGACAGUUUCAGUGCUCAUCUUGCCUACUUUUGCAGCACUAGAUUUGCGAUCAGGUAGAUAAACACAACAACAAAGGAGACGACAGAUGCCAGCGGCCCAUAUUUCCCAAGAAUUCUCUGUGGGUUAAUUCCAUAAUACGGAUUGAAUUCUCUACUGGCACGGAAUCCAGCAACAAGGGCCACACCAUGCUGACACUAGCAGCUAUGUGUUGCUCCCGUGGGCAAGACCUGCCCAAGGAGGAUAGGUAAGAGAAAUGGCUGAAGACACACCAACACCUGGCAACAUGUAGGUUCAUAUUUCACCCCCACCCUUGGAUAAAACCGUGAAUCAUUUGAAACAUAUUAAAACUUGAGUGCAUUUUUUAUUUUGGAGAAAUAUAUAUGCUCACAAGAGCUUAGGAGUCACACGUCGGUUCUAGGUAAUUAAACAAACAAGAACAUUCACUUGUUGAGAAAUUUUACCACCUCUUCUUGCUUCUUUUAUGACACUAGAACUUGACGGGCUUUGGGUCACCUCCUUUUCGGUUUAUAAGGCUUGCGCGUAUCUCUAGGUUGACAAAUAGACCAACUUAAUACAAGUUGUAUAUCACAAAAAAUAUAUAAUUAGGAACUUCAAAUCGUAUACUUUCUAAUGGUAUAAUUUUUAGACUAUACAACUCAUGUUAUGUUGGUCAAGUUAUAGAUCCAGGGAUAUGUACAAGCCUUAUAAACCGGAAAGGAGGUAUGUUAGUAGAUAAACAUGCCAAUUAAGGACUUCUUGACAAGUCUAUGCAGAUUAAAGGUAUGUUAGUAGAUGGUGUAAUAAAUACAUGCUUUUAGCUAUCUAAGGAUACAAAUAUGCCACUAUUUACUUUGUAAAUGCUCGAAAUCAUUCUCAGAAAUUUUAGUAACAACAGUUGUCAUGAACAACUUGGACUAAAUGCAUCAAAUGUUACAAAUAAUACAUAAAAACAUUCAAAUGUACUUAGAGUGAAUCAAUUAAGACGUGUAAAGCUAGUACUAAUCCAAUAUUUCUUAAUGACUUGCAUAUACUUACAACACUUGACGUAAAGAGUGAAUCAAUUAAGACGUGCAAAGCCAGUACUAAUCCAAUUUUAUUAAUAGCUUCCACAAAAUUACAACACGUGGCGUAAAAAGGGAAUAUGAUGAGUCAUGUAUUGAUAACGUGUACAACAUUACUACCCUUGACAUAAAAAGAGAAGUUGAUGAGUCAUGUCUUAAUAACGUGUACAACAUUACUAUCAGCUUGUUCAUCUUACCAUCAUACUAUACAACACUAUAAGUUAGUUUAAAAAAGAAUAAGAGUCCAGAACAAACAUCACAAUACUAGCCUGAUCUAUAUUAACAACAUGCACAAGGACACAAAUUUAGUUCCCCGCAAGCUAUGAAGAUUUGGUUUAUGUCUAACAACUUGUACAAUAUGACAAACUUAGAUCCAAAAGGAAUGCAAACCAGAUAAUUGUAAUGCAAUCCAGAUAAUUAUUUGACAUGCAAAGUGAAUAAGAUGAGUCACUACCAAUUAUCAAGUUUUCCUCACUCUUAGAUGAUAUGAACCAUAAAAAGGCAACUUUGAUGAUCACUCCAUAAUUACGUUUGUAUGUAGUGCCACCAAACACAACACACAAAAUAAUUAGUUCGAUAAGCAUCGAAUCACUUUAAAAAGGAAAGCAAAAAUGGAAAGAAACCUAACCAUGGGAGCUAUAAAAAGGCCUGCAAUAUGUAGACUCCAUACCAUCAUCCAUCCUUCACACAACUAGAGCACAAGUAUCAAAUCCAAGUACGUAGUGGUUAACGCAAAUUAACCAUGAAGACCUUACUCAUCCUAACAAUCCUUGUGAUGGCAGUAACCAUCGGCACCGCCAAUAUGCAGGUCGACCCUAGCGGCCAAGUACAAUGGCCACAACAACAACCAGUCCUGCUGCCUCAGCAACCAUUCUCCCAGCAACCACAACAAACAUUUCCCCAACCCCAACAAACAUUCCCCCAUCAACCACAACAACAAUUUCCCCAGCCUCAACAACCACAACAACAAUUUCUCCAGCCACAACAACCAUUCCCCCAACAACCACAACAACCAUAUCCCCAGCAACCACAACAACCAUUCCCCCAGACUCAACAACCCCAACAACUAUUUCCCCAGUCCCAGCAACCACAACAACCAUAUCCCCAGCAACCACAACAACCAUUCCCCCAGACUCAACAACCCCAACAACAAUUUCCCCAAUCCCAGCAACCACAAUAACCAUUUCCCCAACCCCAACAACCGCAACAAUCAUUCCCCCAGCAACAACCAUCGUUCAUUCAGCCAUCUCUACAACAACAGCUGAACCCAUGCAAGAAUUUACUCUUGCAGCAAUGCAGACCUGUGUCAUUGGUCUCAUCCCUCUGGUCAAUGAUCUGGCCACAAAGCGCUUGCCAAGUGAUGAGGCAACAAUGCUGCCAACAACUAGCACAGAUUCCUCAGCAGCUCCAGUGUGCAGCCAUCCAUAGCGUCGUGCAUUCCAUCAGCAUGUAGCAAGAACAACAACAACAACAACAACAACAACAACAACAACAACAACAACAACAACAACAACAACAACAACAACAACAACAACAACAACAACAACAACAAGGCAUGCGUAUCCUGCUGCCACUAUAUCAGCAACAACAGGUGGGUCAAGGUACUCUCGUCCAGGGCCAGGGCAUCAUCCAACCCCAACAACCAGCUCAAUUGGAGGCGAUCAGGUCAUUGGUGUUGCAAACUCUUCCAACCAUGUGCAACGUGUAUGUCCCACCUGAGUGCUCUAUCAUCAAGGCACCAUUUGCCAGCAUAGUCACCGGAAUUGGUGGCCAAUGAAAAACGCAAGAGCCAUACUAAUAGGUAGAUGGAUCAUCGUUGCUUAGCUGAUUUACCAAUCGAUGUAACGAUGCCAAAUAAACUGGUGUGCACCAUCAUGUGUCAUCCUGACCAGUGCUAGUUCAAGAUUGGGAAUAAAAGAGAAGAACGUUCAUGUUUGCCAACAUUGCUUGUCAUUGUUCCAUUCACUGUGUAUUUAUAUUUUCAUCCUGAACUGCAAUUCUAGUCUUACACAUCAAUAGCUAGUUGCUCAUGUCGGCAGGUUCCUAUGUAAUCUAAUGAUUAAUGGUCGACCUAUUAAUCUAGUUUAUCGGCCGAUUGAUCUAUUAAUUGGUGCUCCCAAGCCGACCGAGCAGCCAUCAGUUACCGAUUUCCUGAACAUUGCACACAAUAAUAAUUCAACGUAUUUCAAUGUCUAGAAGUAAAAGGGCCAUAUAAGCAGUAAAACAAGCGCCUGAUUAGAAACCAUCCAUCACUUUAAAUUAAUCUAGAUAUUUUUGUGUUGGUGCAAUUUUGAGUUGAUGGCACCGACACAUUCUUGAAAGAAAUUCUACAGGGAACUCCAAAGAGGUGAAAAUCAAACUAAAGUUGCCACAUGGUAAAAGAUAAAUCAUGCGGCAAGCAAGAGGAAAUAUUGAGUCACAAUAGCUAGCGCCAAACAUGUAAUUAAACUAUUCUUAUGGUUUCUUGCAAAGAGGGAAGUAAUUUACAGAUGACAAACAAAACGUAAUUAGCAUUAGUUCUAAUUGAUUGUAGAAAUUUCUUUUAUCGGUAGAAUAACUCAGUUGUUAUUUAUUUAAACAUGCACUGUGAUAUUGACUUAUCUCAAUCUAGGAACACAAAGCAAAUACUACAUUUGCUGCUAUGGACUCCAAACAGAUGAGAAAUCAUUAUGUGUAGAAGUUCCUUAGAAGGAUAUUUUGGCCUAAACAAAUUUAACAUUGUACUCGUGUCUUACAUAGUUAAAGCUGAAAAAUCAACAUAACCAGUGGACACUUUGUAAGACAAGUGUGGGAAACAAAUAGUAGGAUAUAAAUUUGAGUAGAAUGUUUGCUCAAAUGUUGAAAAAAUAACCCAGCAAACUAAAACUCAGCAAAACAGUCUAUUCUACCUUAUACGGACUGUCACAAUGAUAAUGCUAUGUUUUUUUGGAAUACAAAUUCAAAAAAAAUCAGCCACAGAUCCCUGAGCCCAUCCAACAGGAGAGCUUCAAUUGAAAGAAGUAUUAGUUCGAUUAGACCAUGUAGUACCUAAAGGAGGAUGGUGGCCCCAUGGAACAACUCCAGCCUUUCCAUUGUGUCCGGGCGCAAUGCGAUAAUGGAGUUAUGGUCAUUGGUGGCUUCGCUGGCCAUAGACGGCUUAUUGACUUCUUCCACUUGAGGAUCACCGUGAACCAGUCCUUCUUCCCCAUCCUACAUAAGCAUGCCAACCACAAAUAAAUGCUCAAAAAGACCAUCUUAAAUGUCAUUGAACCGGAUUAUGGGAGGCAGAAUCUUAUGACUCGGUGGAUGCAGAUAUCGAGGCCUCAUUUGUAUGUUGUGCCUCCCACCAGAGGUGUCUUCUAAUUAGAGUGGUGCGAGAAGACAAUAUAAGCCACCGUGCAAGCGAAACAAUUAGGAGGCACUGCUUGUAAAGCGGAGAAUUUGGCACUGUCUGGUGGCAUUGCGGUAGCCGCAGGGUGGAAGAGAGAGAGGGAGGGAGGGAGGGAGGAUGAAUCGGAAAACCAGGAGCAGGGGUGAUCAACGAUGAAAACCAAGAUGAAAAAACAAUGUGCAAGAGAGGAAGAGGAAUAGGCUAGCUAUUUCUGUAGUGAAGUAAUAUGAGCAUAACUUAACCCAUAGGUGUGGAACUUGGAUUCGGUUGAAGUAUAUACUAUACUAAAGUAAGCUGACUAAUUGCAAUUUAAAUCUUUGGUGGCAAUGCUUAUGAGUUGUGAGGCCAUCUUGACUAUUCUGGAUCUUGCAUAUGAUUCUAAUUAAACAGUAUAUGUCAGAUGUUUUUAAAGAGGCACACAUUAUAUUUGAUUGUUGAUUUACACAUUCUAAUUAAACAUUAUAUGUCAGAUGUUUCUAAUGAGGCCCACGUUAGAUUUGUAUGUUGAUUUACAAAGGGAUUGAUAAGUUGAUUCUAUCCUUUUUCCUCUGCCAUUCUUCCUUUCAUAAAAUGUGUCCAUCGAGUAAUUAUCCACAAUAACAAACAUGACUAGACAAAAUAUCCACGACAAGUUGCAUAUCUUGUGCAACUGUUCACUGGUGAAAGGCUAUUGUGCCACUAUCCAUCAUUGCAAGGAAAAAACACAAAAGAUUUAUGUUCUAUCAAAUAUAUUAUUUUGUUUGGAUUUAGCCAGGUAAGAUCCUGGUUGCGUCGGCCAUUAGAGUACCUUGCGAUCGACUAGACAGUUUCAGCAUAUCUUCUUGCCUCCUUUUGCAUCACUAGAUUUCGAUGGGCUUGCGAACAGGAAGAUAAACACGGCAACAAAGGAGACGAGAGAUGCCAGUGAUCCAUAUUUCCAAAUAAUUCUCUGCAAGUGAAUUCCAAAGAAUGCAUUGAAUUUUGUGCUGGCGUAGAAUCCAGCAGCAAGGGAAACACCAUGCUGACGCUAGGAGCUACGUGCUGCUACCGCGAGCUCCCAUGGCAAGACCUGCCCAGGGAGGACCGGCAAGAGAAACGGCUGAAGACACACCAAGACCCGGCAACAUGUAGGUUCAUAUUUCACCCCCACCCUCAGAUAAAAAUGUGAAUCAUUUCAAACAUAUUAAAACUUGAGUGGAUUUUUUUAUUUCGGAAAAAUAUGCCCACAAGAGCUCAGGAGUCAACGUCAGUUCUAGGUAAUUAAACAAACAAGAAGAUUGACUUGUUGAGCAAUUUUACUACAUUUUCUUGCUUCCUUUUACGACACUAGAACUUGAUGGACUUCCGGUCAGCUAGAUAAACAUGCCAAUAAAGGACUUCUUGACAAGUCUGUGCAGAUUAAAGGUAUGUUAGUAGGUGGUGUAAUAACACAUGAUUUUAGCUAUCUAAGGAUACAAAUAUGCCACUAUUUAUUUUGUAAAUGCUGGAAAUCAUUGUCGGAAAUCUUAGUAACAACAGUUGUCAUGAACAACUUCGACUAAAUGCAUCAAAUGUUAGGAAUAAUACAUACUAACUUAGUUCAAUAAAUUAACCUAUUGAAGCAAGAAAAGAAACCUUGAAAUGUACUUAGAGUGAAUCAAUUAAGACAUGCAAAGCCAGUACUAAUCCAGUUUUAUUAAUAACUUCCACAAAAUUACAACACGUGACGUAAAAAGGGAAUAUGAUAGGUCAUGUAUUGAUAACGUGUACAACAUUACUACCCUUGACAUAAAAAGAGAAGUUGAUGAGUCAUGUCUCAAUAACGUGUACAACAUUACUAUCAGCUUGUUCAUCUUACCAUCAUACUAUACAACACUACGAGUUAGUUUAAAAAGGAAUAAGAGUUCAGAAUGAACAUGACAGUACUAGCCUAAUCUAUCUUAACAACAUGCACAAGGACACAAAGUUUGUCUGCCACAAGAUAUGAAGAUUUGGUUUAUGUCUAACAACUUGUAUAACAUGACAAACUUAGAUCCAAAGGGAACACAAUCCAUAUAAUUGUUUGACAUGUAAAGUGAAUAAGAUGAGUCAGUGCCAAUUAUCAAGUUUUCCUCACUCUUAGAUAAUAUGAGUAGCAAAAAGGCAACUUUGAUGAUCACUCCAAAAUUACGAUUGUAUGCCGUGCCACCAAACACAACACACCAAAAAAUUAGUUCGAUAAGCAUUGAAUCACUUUAAAAAAGGAAAGCAGUGAUGAAAAGAAACCUAGCCAUGGUGGCUAUAAAAAGGCCUGCAAUAUGUGAGCUCCAUACCAUCAUCCAUCCUUCACACAACUAGAGCACAAGCAUCAAAUCCAAGUAGGUAGUAGUUAACGCAAAUCCACCAUGAAGACCUUACUCAUCCUGACAAUCCUUGCGAUGGCAAUAACCAUCGCCACCGCCAAUAUGCAGGCCGACCCUAGCGGCCAAGUACAAUGGCCGCAACAACAACCAUUCCUGCAGCCUCACCAACCAUUCUCCCAGCAACCACAACAAAUAUUUCCCCAACCCCAACAAACAUUCCCCCAUCAACCACAACAACAAUUUCCCCAGCCUCAGCAACCACAACAACAAUUUCUCCAGCCCCGACAACCAUUCCCCCAACAACCACAACAACCAUAUCCCCAGCAACCACAACAACCGUUCCCCCAGACUCAACAACCCCAACAACCAUUUCCCCAGUCCAAGCAACCACAACAACCUUUUCCCCAGCCCCAACAACCGCAACAAUCAUUCCCCCAACAACAACCAUCGUUGAUUCAACAAUCUCUACAACAACAGUUGAACCCAUGCAAGAAUUUCCUCUUGCAGCAAUGCAAACCUGUGUCCUUGGUGUCAUCCCUCUGGUCAAUCAUCUUGCCACCAAGCGAUUGCCAGGUGAUGCGGCAACAAUGUUGUCAACAACUAGCACAAAUUCCUCAGCAACUCCAGUGUGCAGCCAUCCAUAGCGUCGUGCAUUCCAUCAUCAUGCAGCAAGAACAACAAGAACAACUACAGGGUGUGCAAAUCCUGGUGCCACUGUCUCAACAGCAACAGGUGGGUCAAGGUAUUCUCGUCCAGGGUCAAGGCAUCAUCCAACCUCAACAACCAGCUCAAUUGGAGGUGAUCAGGUCAUUGGUGUUGCAAACUCUUCCAACCAUGUGCAACGUGUAUGUCCCACCUUACUGCUCCACCAUCAGGGCACCAUUUGCUAGCAUAGUCGCCAGCAUUGGUGGCCAAUGAAAAAAAACAAGAGCUAUUCUAAAAGUUAGAUGGCCAUCGUUGCUUAGCUUAUGCACCAAUCGAUGUAACGAUGACAAAUAAAGUGGCGUGCACCAUCAUGUGUGAUCCUGACCAAGUGCUAGUUCAAGAUUGGAAAUAAAAGACAAACUCAGUCCUUGUUUGCCAGCAUUGCCUGUCAUUGUUCCAUUCCAUGUGUAUUUAGAUGUCUGUCCCUAAUCAUAAUUCUAGCCUUGCACAUCAUUAGCUAGUUGCUCGUGUGGUUGUUGACAUGUUAAUCUAGUUAAUAGGCUGAUUGAUCUAUUAGUUGUUGCUCGCAAGUUGAUCGAGCAGCUAUCAGUUGGCAAUUUCCUGAACAAUGCAUACAAUAAUAUUUCAACGUAUUUCAAUUUCUAGAAGUAAAGGGUCAUUUCAGCAGAAAAACAAGUGCG
Molecule: long non-coding RNA, 85534 nt
Filed under: Triticum aestivum (bread wheat)
Lineage: Eukaryota; Viridiplantae; Streptophyta; Magnoliopsida; Poales; Poaceae
Description: long non-coding RNA (TAES_LNC028373)
Source: RNAcentral